AGUUGAAAGGUGAAACUGUAUGGAAACCCCUUAAGUUUAGACUAUUUUGAAACUAGUGCCGUAGCUGUGUAGCUUUCGUUGAUUAAGAUAUCUUAAAAAAUUUAAUUUAAAUAAAUUAUUAAGUUAAAAAUAGUGCAUAAUUCAGAUAAGCGGUGUACACUUUUACCUGCAUUUCUGCAAAUCUCUUUCAAACCUCUGCUACAAAGUACAAUCGAUUAUAUCAAUAACUGUGUUCGUUCGUUCAUUCAACAAACCACCCGUGCAAAACAAGGGGAAAAAAAUAUUUACAACACCAACCGCUACACAAUCUCAAGGUACAAAAUCAAUCAUCAUCAUGAACUCACCGCUUCUGUUGCUGUUGCGUCGACGAGAUGCAGCUCCACCUCCUCCCUCCACUCCACCCACCGGCUCUCGUAGUACCCGCUCUUAACUUCGUUCGGAAAGUNACCCGCCACGUCACCGCCCCCUCCCCGACCCCCGCCUCGUCACCCGCCGCCACCACCGCUCCCGCCUUGGUCAGCGCCCGCCCGGGCCCACCGCACCGCCGUCGCAUCCCGGCGCGUGGGUCCCCACCGGGGCCAGCCCCCGGCGUCCACGUGGCAACCUCGGCCCCGGUGGCGAAGUCGCAGAGGACGCCCUCGAAGACCGCGGCGGCGCCCUCGGCGUCCUGGUCCCACCGCCAGCUGCGCCCGCGCGUGCGCGCCGCCGCGCGGGCCUUCGCCUUCACCCCCGCCGCGCGCUUGGUGGGGCCGCCGCCGCUCGCGAAGCUGCCCUUCACGGUGCGGGUCGUCUCCACCUCGCGCUCCGGGUUCCCGGUCGACCGGCCCAGGCUCGGCCCGGUCGCGUAGGCCGCGCCCGGCUCGGGCCCGACCCAGACCCGGAUCCGCGACGGGAAGUGGCGCUCCCCGUCCACGUCGUCGUCGUCGUCGUCGGUUUCCUCCUCGUCGUCGUCGUCGUCGUCGGUUUCCUCCUCCUCGUCCUCCUCGCGGUGGUCGUGGUCCCCUCGCGUGCCGCAGCCGAGGCGCGCCACGUGGACGCGUAUGUUGACGACGCGUACCCCGACGAGGAUGAAGCGCGGGUCGCGCAUGGAGACGGAGUACUCGAGCUGGACCGCGGCCUCGAGCUGCUGGUGCGCCAGCGCGUACCGCAGCGCCGCGUCCUUCGCGUCGUGCGGCGGCGCCGCCUCCUCCGCGGUGGAGCAGCCGCGGACGCGGGCCAUGGCGGGGACGGGGGCGAAGCCCCUGAGGAGCCAGAGCCCGUGGGCCUCCGCGGCGUAGGCGAAGCAGCAGCAGCCGCGGCGGCGGCGGCGGCGGGGUCGCGCGGGGGGUAAGGGUAAGGGUGAGGGCGAUGAGGGCGAGGGUGAGUCCCCCUCCCCCUCCCCCUCCUCCUCCCCCAAUCCGAAUUGGAGGCGGCGGAGGAGGCACCACUUGGCGAGCAUGUAGCCGAGGGAGCGGGCGCAGCGCUCCUCGAGGUCGGGGCCCGCGGCGCGGAGGAAGGCGCCGAGGGCGCGGGCGCAGCGGCGCGGGGCGCGCUCCAGGGAGGGGCCGAGCGCGCGGAAGAAGAGGAAGCCCGCGUCGGCGGGGGCGUCCGCGGCGCAGAGCCAGAAGAGGCGCAGCAGGAGCGCCAGCUCCAUAAAGGCCGCGCCCUGCUCCCGCGCAGCGUCGAGCGCCUUCGACACGGGCUCGGCGGCGAGCCCGACGGAGGGGGCGGUGGUCGAGGGGGAGAGGGAGAUGGAUUCGGCGAGGAGCUGGUGGAGGAGGAGGAGGAGGAGAUGAGAGGAGAGAGCGGAGGGGCGGAGAGCCAUAGAGUCGGUGGCGGAGUGAGGACGGAGAGGAGGAAAGGUGAGGAGGGGUCGCAUGGGCGGUGCGGUCGGCGAGAGGAGGAUGGAGUGGUGGUCGGAGGCGGCGAGACGAGGGACGCGGGCACGAGGGGAGAUACGAGGGCAGCGAGGCAUCCACGACCACACCUCCUCCAUUUCUCGACAGAUUUUUUUUUUUUUUUUUUUUUUUUUGUGUGCGUUAAGGAGCGCGCGGGAGGAUAAAGCUCUAACUUAUUAUACAAAAAACAAACCCACCGACGCCUAGGGAGGGGAAUGGUUUGGUUUCGGCCACACGAGGGUCUUACUCUUAUGAUUGCUAGCUAUCCUUUGGAAUGGUGCUUUAAGAUUCGGGAGUUUCUGUUCAAUUCUAUUCCACGGUGGGGGAUUUCACUUGUUCCUAAUAAAAGGAUUAGGACGUAUAACGACUCAGUAUAACUUCAAUUGUAUUUUAUCGAAUAACACUAUAUCACUAUAUCGUACAGCUUUAGAGCCAAAGUGGCUUGCUUCUUCCCAUCAUCUCCGUCAACGACUCUGACGCCGAGAAGCGUAAGGCUGUGGCGGCUCAUGACUUGAUCUUGGCUUUCCUAAAUUGGUCGAUCGCAACGGAGGAGAAAGAGUUGUGAGAGAUUUACUCCCUAAUUUCGUCCAUUUGUUUAGUUUUAGAUGAUUAUUUAAUCAUACUUAGGCUUAUUCUUUGACUUGACCGGGUUGUUGUAACUUGAAACCUCCGCUCAAUAGACUCAAUGAUAAGAAGUAGAUAGUUAAUUAAAGGCGCGGGAUCCUUGAUCAUUUCCAGCGACCAGAUAACUAAAACGCUGACUUUUUGUUCCUUGGGGAGGUAUUUAGCUAGUUUUGACCCAAUGGGAAUUUCUAUACAAGUUCGACUUAAGUAGAUGUGAAGCAGCACUACUGAGACAUAGCAUUUUGCUUUCGCUUUCAAUUACAAUCUUUUUUACAUGAUAAUUUUGACAAUAGAACAAAUUCAUUUGGUACUCGUGAUUCUACUGCAGAGAAUAGCUGCUGUUGCCGCUUCUUCUACUGGCGUUAUUCGAACAGUAGUAUAUCAUUCAACUUGGUCAAAAAACCUUGAAUCCAAUUGCAUUUAGAACAAAACUUUUUUAAAAAGUAUUUAAUAAUACUUUGUGGAUGUAUUCAAGCAUUUGGCUACAAUCUUCUCUCCUCUCAGCAUUUAAAAACGGUGAUGAUGCAAAACAAGGCCAUAAUAAAUUAAUUAUUUCAAGAGUAAAUUUCAUGUUUGGUCUUCAAAUUAUAAUCCUUAAAAGUUUAAUUUAUUGUAAUUUUCGAUUCAAACUUUAAGAAUUAUUACAAUUAAAUUCUAUAAUCCAAUUUAAUUGAUUUAAUAUUAAUAUAUUGUUAAUACAAAAGUAAUGUAUUAAUGCUGUGAUUGAUGAUAUGCUAAUAAUUAAAAUACUAUAUCACUUUACAACAAUGGUGCGUCAAUAUUUAGUAAACUAAAUUGGACUAUAGGACUUGAUUGCAAUAAUUCUAAAAAUUCAAGUAAAAAAUUACAAUAAAUUAAAAUUUGAGAGCCAAAGUGCUACCUAUCUCACAGCAUAAGGACCAAACAUACAAUUUAUCCUUAUUUCAAUUAAAAUCAUUCUAUGUAGAGAAAUAUUGGGACACAAUUAAAUUCCAAGUACCACUUUCCACAAACAUGCAGAUCACAAUAAUCAAGAAGGCACCACAGUUUGAACCAUGUUUUAUCUUUUGUCAGAGAAAAUCCGACGUUCUCAUUGUAACAAAGAGUCGCUCAUUCAACAGUUGAAACUUCACUUACUAUGGCAAUUUCUAAUCUAAUCUUAAAUUAGGGAAAACAUUUCUCUAAAUGAGGGGGGUGGGGGAUCUUAAAUGGUGCAUCAUAUCUCAAAUUGCACCUAAAGGCCAUGUAUUCAAGCACUUCAGAUCUUUACUUAACCUAUAAAUGUUGCCGCAGGAAAAUGCAAAGGUAGCAACCUUUCCUCCAUAAUGCAAUCUUCUGAGCGCAUUGUGAUUGCUAGACCACAAAAGAACUUCAUGAAGCUCCCCUUUCUUCCAGCAGAUGUUCACAGUUACUCCGCCUCUCGCCUUCAAUCCUUCAACACAACCGGAAGGCCACUUAUCACGAGGGAGAGCCGGGAGUAAGUAGAGGUCACGCUGGGUGCUUUGGACUAGUAUUUCAGCAAUUGCCGCAGUGAAACUGAGAGAAAAGAAAAUGAGAAAUCGCGAGAAGUGUCCCUCUGGGACUUCUACAGAAGAAUUAUUUAAGUAAAAUUAUUCAACUAACAACUUCUUCACUAAAGUACCAGCCAACAGCUAUGCUGCAGUUAAAGCAGAAAAUACAAAUCGGAGAUUCUGCCUUUUGGGGCUAGAAGCCCGUUUCAACUUCUCGUUAUAACAAAAGCUUCACACUUUUCAUUUGCCAAAUAUGGUGCUUACUAAUUCUCAAAGUAGAGAAGCUGCUGCAGAAACCAAGCCAAAUAGACACGCGGUCCUGUUUCGAUCCAUUACCGUCUUUUUCAAUAUAUUCCUUUAAUUGAUUUAGAAGCAUGUAAUAUUUGGUAGAUGAUGAGUAUGAUCACACAUCCAUAAUGGAUAUUAUAUUCAGCCUUCAAAUUAUUUUUUUCUGAAAUAAGAUAAAUCACCUUGUAGGCAAAAUAUACUAUCUUACCAAAUUAUAUAUGCCAAAACCUUUCCAGAAAUAAAAUUCAAAUUCCUGCCUUUCAAUUGCACAAGAAAAACUUUAUACAAAAUAAACUAUCAUUGAAUAUGUUAUUCCGACAUCCAAAUAGGGGCCUAAGAGUUUUCUUCUAAGAUAGCAAAACUGACAUAUAUCUUAGACACAAUCAGAUUUUACAGUUAACCUAUCCAAAUUGAGACAUUGAUUCAUACCCGAAAUUGGCAUCUAUUUGAAAUGGAGGAUGUGCGGUGAACAAGUUGCUAUACACUCCUCCUUCAAAGGCAGUUUCAUUGUCAGGAUCUACCAAGUUGAUCAGCUGGAAAAUCAUUUUGUAAGCAUGCUCGCUGUUAUGAAGGCGAGCCCACAAAGCCAUCUUCCAUGUAGUUGACCAUCCCGGACCGACAUCACCUAACAAAGUGACAAUUAUAUAAAAGUAAAAAAAGGAAAGAAAAUUAGUCCACACAUUGCUAAAAUUGUAAGGUCUGGAGUACCUCUUUUGUAAAGGCUGUUAGCAGCUGCUUUGCAGAGAUCAGGAGUUUUCUCAACCGUAAUAGUAUGACCUGGAAAAAGACCAAAAAGGUGCGACAGAUGCCUAUGAUGGAUAUCUGGGUCCUCAAAAUCCUGCGCCUGUGUGCAUUGAAUGAAAUUUAGACACUAGGAACACUUAAAACAUGUCAAAGCAACCAGAAAAUAAAACAAAAUAAAAUUAGAAGUCAACUAACCCACUCCAUGAUUGAACCAUCUCUAGCAAUUUUUGUUGGAGGGAGCCUAGGCAAGGCCUUCUCGAUACGGUCAAUUAAUUCAGUAUCGGUUUUCCCAAGAACCUAAAACAACAAUUAGAGAAGAGAGCCUUAAUCUCCAAGCUCAUUAAACUAAAAAAAUAGAUAGCACUAGCAUCACAAGACACUGAAACAGAUUAGUCGGUAUGAUUUCUCACACCAAUAGCACCUCUUUAUGAAAAUUUUCAUGUGGAAGUAGUCACCUCAGCAGACGAAAUAACGGCAGAGAAAACUUCCCGUAUGAUUGCAAUGUCCAUAGUUGUUGAAUAGCUGACACUUGCCAUCUUACCAUCAGGAGCGAUAAAAGAAUGUUCGGGCGAAGUAGAAGGAUUAGUUUCCAAGUACCCUCCAUGUCCUUCAAUUAACCAGUCUAACAGAAAAGUUGCACAUCCUUCCAAAAGUGGGUAUGCUGUAUUCUCCAGAAAAACCUAAAUAAAAGUGAGAAAAUCGUAAGCUUUGUGGGUCAAAUUAUACCUACUUGAAGAAAAAAUGUUAGAAAAUAAAUAAAUGAAACAUGAUCAAUAUACUAAAUUAUGAACAAAUAGGAUAAAUGAUAUAUAAUGCAUGCCAAAUUUGCGCCUGUAAUGAGACACAGGGCUUACUUUGUCCAUUGUGAAAGUAUAAUGCUCCCACAGAUGUGUACUGAGCCAAGCCCCGCCCAUUGGCCAUAAAGCCCACACAGGGUCACCACGGUCGGGCGAUGAUUUUGCCCAUAUGUCCGUUACUUGAUGAGCUACCCAACCACUUGCUUCAUAAUUGACCUGAACCGUAAAAUUAAAUUUUGAUAAAGCAAUAUGAAAGCUAGUAAUUAUCUGCAAAAGGGAGAAACUGAUUAUUGGAGAGAUAAAUAGGGGAACAUAUGCCUUGUAAGACUUGAAUAGUGUAAAUAAUGUGGAUCUUCUGUUAUGAUUACAUGCAACAGCAAGUCCAAAAUGGUGCAGGAAAUGUUCUCAUCCACAUGCCUAUCAAUAUGUAACAGGAAGCCAAGAAAUUGCAUGAAAUAUUCACAAAACUCCACUUAAAAUUUUCUCUAAUUAAAAAAAAAAUCCGAAAAAUGGCAUGCUCAUAUACAGCAUAUUUCCAAUUGUCAAGGAAGUUUCUAUUCAUACUGUUUAUAACACAGGAAAUUGGACAAAUGAAGCAUUAUCACGAUUCCACCUAAGUAACACUAAAAACGCAAGUCAACAUUACCAGCCAAAGUAUCAUGCCUUCAAUAUUCUUAGACAACGCAAUAAACCUCAAGGCAAUGUAUACACCACUAAAUGAAGAAUAGUUUGCUAUUCAAUCCUUACUCAUCUCACAAAAUAUGGGUUGCUCCUGAAGCAUUGUUUUAUUCAACUCAUCUAUUGUAGAUAAGGACUAGAUUGGGAAUGCUUUGUCCAUAGCAGUCCCUUCAAGUUCCCUGAAGUUCCAUGGAUCCAUUUUGGGACUUAGAACUUCAAUGGAUGCAAAGUUUGAGAAACGUAAAAACGACUAUCAAGUAUUUAAUAUUUCUAUAUUUCCUUUCCUGUCAAGCAUGGCUGAUUUUUCUAUUAUGCCAUAUAGCUUUAAAUCAAGGAUAGCAAUCUUACUUUUGCUGUCUUGCUACCAUUGAUCGCAAGAGAUUCAAUAAAAUCAAACAGUGGUUCUUCGCACUCACGAAGAUUGCAAGGAAGCGAUGGCCAGUAAUUCAUUUGCAGAUUGAUGUUCAGGUGAGGAGCUGCACUGGAAACAAACAGCAAAAGUAAAAUUUCUAUGUCAAACAGUACAUAGCUAUGAAAUCUUCAUCUCAUUUUCCAAGCCAUAGAACUCAUUUUGGAUGCAGGACAAAUCCAAAAAUUAAGCACCAAUGAUCAAAAUCAUGAUGGCUCGUACAUUGAUGGAUGUCUCUUUUAUUGCCCACUUGCAUUAUAUGCUAUAAUUGAGUUACUUACGGUGUGUGUCACUUGAUCAUACUUCUCUUAUUAAUCAAAACUAACUAAAUAAAGAUUCUCAGCUACAAUAGUCAAAAUCAUAACCACUAUUUCUGGAAAAGCAGAUAACCUACAUUUUUAGCACAGGUUCUGGUGUGUUAAGCAAUACAUGGUUAAUUUUAUAGGAAGCAGCGAAUCACAUACAUGCAAUCACUGUUCCGAAAGUACAAGUUCCUAACAAAUGACCUAACAAUUAGGAAAAAGAUCCACCAGUUUGACGUAUUAAAAGUCAAAUUGAGUUUUCCAGGGUUUUAUUGUAAACUUUUAUAGGUUGUACCUUUGGUUCAUAACUUCAUAUAUAUCUAAAUAGCAAUAUAAAAAUUUUGAAAGGUCCGUAAGUUGUCAAAUGCUUCAUGGAGAAGUUCGAUGAAUUAAUAUUAACCUCUAAUGCUUUCGAUUGAGGAUAUAAUAAGCACCUGGAAAUCUAUUGCAAAAAGAUAUAAGCCUCAUAGCAAUGAGAAAAUAAAAUUAACACAGCAAAAGUAUGAAUAAGAAAUAUUGGGAAUAAAUAUUUGCAUUCAACUCCUUGGUUGUGAAAUAAUACAAGCUUUUUAUAUAAACAACGAAGAUAUUUCCUCAUAAGUUAAAAGACAAGCGAUAAAAUAAAAACUGGCUAAGGUAAUAUAGUUGAGGUAAAAUCUUACUCCCAUGCUGGCUCAAUGUCCUUAUUCCAUAUUCCUUGCAAGUUGGCAACCUGAGUUCCAGGCCUAGAACAAGAUAUUAGCAGGUACCGCCCAUAAUGGAAUAACAGCUCUACCAAAGUGGGAUCCUCAUCAUUUUUAAAAGAUUUCACUCUUUCCGCAGUUGACUUGAUGGCAUCACUCAUUAUUCGGACCGAAGAAUCAGUACUUUGUGAUUCUGUGGAGUCUUUUGACAGUUUCAAAGUAACAUGUUGAAAAAGACUCUGAUAAUCAUCCAAAUGAUAAGAAAUUAGCUGAGAAAAUGACAUAUUCUUGAUUGGAUUUAAUAACUUCACGGCUUCUGAAGUAGGGUCCACUUUAGAAUCAGAAGGCUUAACGAAUGGCCCUUGGAAUGAAGAAGCAGCUGUGAGAAGCAUAACAACCCAGUCGGCACCAUCAACUUUUAUUUUCCUAUCGUCAACAAUUUGUGCUGUGUAAUCAUCACCACCUAUCUGCAAAUUGAGAAUUGCUGAGAACUUAAUUCCGCUUGGACUUUCAGAGGCAUUUUCUUUCGGUGGAAUUCUCUUCCCUGGGCAGCUACCUUCCAUGAUGAUUUGAUUUGAAGUGUUUGCAGCAGAAUGAUGAUGCAAUAGGCUGUCUAAGGAUACUGUGAAGGAGAGGCAGCCCGAUUUACUUGCAGAAAUCUUGGUCACGAGCACUUGAUGCGGGUUUGAGGAGAAGUGUUCCCUCGUGUAUUCUACAUUCCCAACAGCGUAUUGGACAGUCACAGUCGCAGUAGUCAGAUCGAGUUCUCUUUCAUAACCAGUAUAUGUGUCAUUCGCAUUGCCAAACUCUAUAUUAAUAUCACCAAGAGGUUGGUAGACCUUCAUUUGAACCCAAUUAGUGUUAGAUUUAAAUCUUAUCUUGCCAAAAGUUAAGCACAAGUGUGCACAAGUAGAAGAGAAAACAGCUAAAUUUUUCUGUUGACAACAUGUCAUGUGCAAGAAAUGCAGUGUUAACAAUUGAACAAAAUAAACGGUACAUAUCCUAAAGACAUUCAGAAAUAAAUGGAGAUAUAUUCUCUUUAGACUAGGAAAAUUUGAAAAAUAAAGUGCAUUACUACAUAGCACCUCCAAAUGUAAAUUUAUGAAGAAUUAGGAGACAAAAAAAAAAUUCAGCUCCCUUCGACAGAAAGAACUAUCAUGACCUUAAUAUAACCAAGGAAGCUAAGUACCUAACAGAGUAUUGCAUAACUUAGUGGAGAAAUAAUUGAAGUUCUAAUAGAAGCCAACAAAUCGAAUUAUCAUGUAUGGCGUAAUUUAAAAGGAUGCAUCAAGUCAAUCUUAAUACUAGAAAAUGGCCUCUAAAAUACUCAGCAGCAUUCAAGCAAGCUAGCAGUAGACAUCAAAAUUAUAUAUUUUUUUUAAAAAAAGGUAAAUAAAUUUCUUUCAUGCAAGAGCUUAAAAUUGCACGUACAUCUGAUGGCUUAUCAGACAAGUCAAAAGCGGCCGAGGUGGCUUCCGCAUAUUGUCCGUCGUCCACAAGUUCUCUUACUUUAGAUAGAACAGCAGGGGCUUUUGGAUUUGUAUAAUUACCAGGUACACCAGUCCAUAGAGUAUCAACUGCAUAAGCAAUUACACUAUAAAAUCAGCAGCAUUUUACAGGUGAGAGAAAAAAAAAUAUCAACACAGGGCAAAAAGGAUUAAUGACUAAUAUAAAAUAUAGAAAGGAUUAUUGCAUAAUCUUUUUUAAAAAAAGAAAAGGAACAUGCUGAGAAUUACCUAAAGCAUAAAAUACAGAGCCAGCUUGUUUAUCUAAUAAACUAAUAUCCAGUAAUAUUAAUCUUUCUUCAAUCACGAACAAAAAGGUCACUUUUUUUGUCCAAAAUUGAAGGUAAAAGGUUAAAAUGUAUGGAAAGCCUUAAGCCCCUCAAGUACUAUAGACCAGUUUAAAAUAGGCCCUUUUUUUGACACCUGUGAACUUUCAUUUUCUUUUGUCUGAAUCAUUUCAUUAUUACUUGAAUCAGAAAUUUCAUUAAAUUAAUCAGCAAUUUCGUCAAAUUGUUAAUAUUAAUGAUCAAUAGCUAACAAAGUUAUUAAUUUUAACAAAAUUUCUAUCGCGAUUAACUAAAACAACUCAAAACAAAACAAAGUAAGGUUAAGAGAUUCAAUGGUAAAAGAAAAGGAACAAGAGUUGAGGCGCACAUUUCAAAAUACCAUAUAAUUGAAGGGGCCUUUGGGAUCUCCACACUUUUUUUUUUAUUUUUUUUUACCUCGUGGGAUUCGAGCUCACAACAUUCACCUCCGAACUAUACAGUGCGAGACUCUCAAAUCUUCGUCUAACAAAUAUUUAAAAGAGCAAUAGGAAAUCACGAUUAAACAACUCUACUUCAUACAAAUCGAGGUAAAAGGUAGAAAUUUAGAACCACUCACUCCACCAUACUCUAAUAUAAAUAAAUAACAACAACAGCAAAACCUAAAAAACGAACAUCGUUUAAUGUACGCAUCGAAAGAUAAAGAAAAAGCGGGGGGGGAGGGAGGGGGAACUACGAUUGAGCUGGAGCUUCUCGGCGGCGACGCCGCCCCACACCAUGGCGCCGAGUCGCCCAUUCCCGACGGGCGCGGCGUCGGUCCAGUGCUUCGCGGGCUCCGCGAACGCGAUCCUCAGCGGCCGCUCCUCCGCCGCCGCGGCGCCUCCCCACCCCGCCGCCGCCGCCGCCGCGUCCGCGUCGGUGGGGCGCCGCACGAGCACCCACUCCUCCGCCGCGUCGCCGUCGCCGAGCAUUGGGAGGAGGCUAGGGUUUUGGAUCGGGAGGAGAGAGAGGGGGUGAUGGCGACUGUGGGUCACUUGAAGCGAGGGGGCGGUUCGGCAUGGAGAAUGUGAUCACGGGUGCGUAGUGUUUUUUUUUCUUUUUUUUUUGGCCUUUUCGCAGGAGUACCGAGUACGGCCGUAAUAACUGCGCGGUGCCGGUGCUUCCGUUUGUGUGCGCUUCUCCGUCGCGCGAGACAGGUAGUGACACGAAAGGACGUAACAGCGUCGACAUUACGUGAACCCUGUUUACCAUCUCAUCUGUGUGAGUACAGUUUACCUACACUCCCUUAUUUUAAAAGUAGAUUAAUUUUAUACAGGUACUUAUAAAUAUAGAUAUCGUUUGGUUUGGGGAUAAGCAAAAAUUGUUGCUCUAGAAAUAGGCAUAAAUUGAGAUAUAAACAGGAAUUAGAUCAAUUUUGCGUUUGAAUGAAAAUUAGGUUAUUCUUGGGAAUUAAAAAAAAAAGUGUUUGGUUAGGUAAAUGGAAUAAGAAGGAUAGUCGAUUUUAUAAAUAAAAAGUAAUGAUAUUAUCUUUUUAUUAUAUUUGAAUUUGAAUUUUUAAAAUUUUAAAUUUAUAUUUUUAAAGUUAAAAUUUUAAAAUUUGAGAAAUUUGAAAUUUAAAAUCUCAAAUUUUAAAUUCAAAUUUUUAAAUUUUAAAUUUCAAACUUUAAAUUUAAGAUCAAAUUUAAAUUUGAAAAAUAUAAAAUAUAAAAUUUUAAAUUUCAAAAAUUUAAAAUAUCAAAAUUUAAAUUUAAAAUUUAAAAUUAUAAACUUUAAUUUUGAGAUUAUAAAUUAUAAAUUUUAAAAAUUUAAAUUUUUAAAUUUUAACGGGAACAAUUAAUAAAAAUAAUUUAUUAUAAUAAAUUUAUAAAUUUUUUUAAAAUUCCACUUAAACUUAAAUUUAAUAAAAAGAAUUUAUUAUAAUAUUUAAAUAUAAUUUAUUAUAAAUUUUAUUAUAAUAUUUAAAUAUAAAUAAUAUGUAUUAAUAUAGUACAAUUAAUAAUUUUAUAAUAAAAAUAAUGUAUUAUAAUAUAUAACAUAUUAAUUAUAUUUAUAUAAUUUAGUUUGCUUAAUUUAUAAUUUUAAUUAAGUUUGAAAUUAAGCAUUGGAAUAGCAUUAUUCCACCAAAAUGGUGGAAUAGCAAAUUCCUUGCUAUUCCGGGAUAACCGGGAAUAGCAAGGUUUGACCGGGAUAAAAUAUCCCAGCCAAAUUUCACCCCGUUUAGCGGAAUAGCAGGGAUAACUUUCGUUAUCCCCACUUAUCCCCCGAACCAAACGGGGCCAUAGUGAAUAAUAAAUAUUUUUUUAUAAAAUUUAACUUUUAUACGGUGUUUCUAGAAAAGUUCGGAUGUUUUCAAAUAUAUCUCUCUGAUUUGGUACCGUUAGAGAACUGUUUAUAUUUUUAAUUUUGUCAUCAUAAAUAUAUCAUUCCAAAAGACAUAACAGUAUAAUAUAAGAGAAAUAAAAAUGUCAAAAAGUAACUAGAAUUAUAUAUUUAAUUUAUGAUUAACUAAAUUUUUCUAACGAAUUCUAACGUAAGGAUAUAUUUGAAAAUAUCGUGAUUUUUACAAUGACAGAAUAUGAAAGUUGAACUUUAUAGGGAUAUUUAUCAUUUACUAUAUUUGCAGGGAGCUAUAUGAAAUUAACCCUUUAGGAAUUGGAAUUGAUGGAUGAGAGCCUGUUUAGCUCGAGUUAUAUAGUAUUAUUGUUUAUUUCGAUGUAAUUAAUUAUCUGAAAUUUUUUGAAUUAGAUUAUUAUUGAAUUACUAUGUUUGGUUCGGUUUAUAAAAUUUAGGAAUCUUGACAGUAAUGUAUAAUCUAUUCCAAAAUUAUUCUUGUGGUCAUAUUUAUUUAUUUUUUACUAAACUACAACUUAAUAUAAUUUGUACUUAAAUUAAUUUUAUUAAUAAGCAAUAUAAAUAAAAAGACCACACAUUAAAAAAAAUUAUAAAGCCAAAAAUUAAUUUCAAUCCAUAUAAAAAUAAAAAUAAAUAAAAAAUACCAUAUUACAUAACCAUACAAUAAUUUAAGAAUAAUAAAUUUUAAUUUAAAAACUCAUUUAUAAGGAUUCAUGCGAACAGGAACAGAGAAAGAGAGGGAUAGAAAGUGAGAGAGAGAGAUAAACAUGACCUAUUAAAAAAGCUUGAAGGGUUGGAGGGUUAAAAUUAUAAUUUUACAUAACAUGGAGCGAUAAAAAUGAUAUAUUGAAAGGGUUUGGAAGGGUUAGAGGAGUAAAAUUAUAAUAUUACGUAACAUGCAAAAUUGUUCGCUAUCAGUAGUAUAAAAUACCCACCCACCGCUUGAUAAUAUUUUCGGGGCCCGUUUGGUUCGAGUUAUGUAAUAUUACAAAGUAUCUCGACAUAUCCAGGUAUCUUGGAUUUCGGCGUGAGAUUACUACUAAUGCUGCAUUAGAGCGUUUGGUUUAAUACAGUAAUGUAAUACUAGAUUACAGUGUUUAUAGCAUUAAUAUGUUUGGUUCAGUUUAUAAAAUUUAGGAAUCUUGACAGUAAUGUAUAAUCUAUUCCAAAAUUAUUCUUGUGGUCAUAUUUAUUUAUUUUUUACUAAACUACAACUUAAUAUAAUUUGUACUUAAAUUAAUUUUAUUAAUAAGCAAUAUAAAUAAAAAGACCACACAUUAAAAAAAAUUAUAAAGCCAAAAAUUAAUUUCAAUCCAUAUAAAAAUAAAAAUAAAUAAAAAAUACCAUAUUACAUAACCAUACAAUAAUUUAAGAAUAAUAAAUUUUAAUUUAAAAACUCAUUUAUAAGGAUUCAUGCGAACAGGAACAGAGAAAGAGAGGGAUAGAAAGUGAGAGAGAGAGAUAAACAUGACCUAUUAAAAAAGCUUGAAGGGUUGGAGGGUUAAAAUUAUAAUUUUACAUAACAUGGAGCGAUAAAAAUGAUAUAUUGAAAGGGUUUGGAAGGGUUAGAGGAGUAAAAUUAUAAUAUUACGUAACAUGCAAAAUUGUUCGCUAUCAGUAGUAUAAAAUACCCACCCACCGCUUGAUAAUAUUUUCGGGGCCCGUUUGGUUCGAGUUAUGUAAUAUUACAAAGUAUCUCGACAUAUCCAGGUAUCUUGGAUUUCGGCGUGAGAUUACUACUAAUGCUGCAUUAGAGCGUUUGGUUUAAUACAGUAAUGUAAUACUAGAUUACAGUGUUUAUAGCAUUAAUAUGUUUGGUUCAGUUUAUAAAAUUUAGUAAUCCUGACAUAAAAGUAUAGUUUUUUUCAAAAUUGCCCUUGUUGUGGUCAUUUGAAUAUUAUUUUUUGCGGAAAUGACGAAUGGAGGGAAGGAGAUCGUGAUGAUUAUUUGGGAGGACGACGCAAUAAAAGAUGAUAGGUGUUCGUGCGAGAGAGAGAGAGAGAGAGAGAGAGAGAGAGAGAGACGUCCAGAUAGAAAGAGCGAGAGAAAGCGGCGUGCGAGAGAGAGGGCCGGAGGGAAGGCGAGAUAGAGAUGAAAAUAAUGCUGUUAAUUAGAUUUGGGGUUGUUGGAGGGUAAAAUUGUCAUUUUACAUAAUAUGUAGUAUUAACGGGUUUCAGUAAUGCAAGAUACACGACCCCCCUCCCGUUAAUAUUUUCGAUGUAAUCCUGCUCGAUUUGUAAUCCUACAUUAACGACUAGAUUACAUAGUGGAUUAACCAAACAUAGUUAUCCUGGCAGGAUUGCCUGUAAUCCUGCCAGGAUAACUUGAACCAAACGCACCCUCGGAGUAAUCUUGCACAAUUUGUAAUAUUAUACCAACCAGAUUACAGACCGAAUAUAUAGAGUAAUCUUGUAUCAUUUGUCAUGUUAUAUUACUAACCAAAUUGUAGACCGGACAAACCAAACAUAAUAAUCUUAACAGGAUAACCUAAACCAAAUGUGUCCUAAGAAAAAAUUUUCGUUGGAAAUUAAUUUUACGCUCCAUUGUGUUUGGUUUUUUUUAGAAAAUUGAAAAUUAUUUUCAAACCUCAGUUGUUUCCAAUGCUGCCGAUUUAUUUUCGAUGAUAAAACCUUCAAAUCGACGAUCGACACUAUUAAACGUGAUCCACACCACUUGAAGUUUUUAUAAAUCAAAUUUCAAAUUUCGAUAUUAUUAAUCUAAUGAUCAAGGGGAUGCAAAAAUUAAAAACUUAAUGAUCAAUGUGAAAUGUUUGCUCGUUUAAUGGUGUAAAUAAAUCUAAAUUAAUUAAAGUUUAAUUUGCAAAUUUUUUAAAUUAUUGAAAAUAAAGCCUAUACUCUUGAUCUUAAUUAUACGAGUUCUAUCAUCAUUUUUUAAAAGAUAUUAUUUUUAGCCAUUUAUUUUUGUGUCCACUUGAUAUACAAAAGAAAAAUAUCAAAACCACAUAAAAGUUAUUUUUUAAUACUUCAAGUAGUAUAGAUCAUAUUCAAUUGUGCCGAUUGUUAAUUCGGAGCCAUCAUUAUUAAAAGUAAAUCGAAAAAAAUGAAGCUCAUUUGCUAUUGAUAGUAUUCUAACUUAACUUUUUAUAUUUUUUUUUGGGUAAACUUUAAAUACCAUCCAUGUGGUUUCGCACUUUCUCACUACCAUGUGGUUUAAAGUAUAUCAAGUUAAUAUUCUAUGGUUUCAUUUUUAUCUUUUCGUCAGCUUUUUCGUUAAUAUUUGGUUAAAUUAUAUACAAAAAACUUCAAAUACUCCAUCUAGGUUUAUCGAAUAUUCACUUUAGUACCCUUUAGUUUAACUUUGUCAAUAAUUUAGCGAAAAAAAUUAGUGAAAUAGAUAAUAAAAUGAUAAAAAUAAAAUUAUAUGGCACUAAAUUGAUACACUUUAAACUAUAGGAUACUAAAGUGAAAAGGUGUGAACUACAGUAGUAGUAUUUGAAGUUUUUUCUUUUUUUUUUUCUUAAGUGGGAAGCAAUAGCAAUAGCGGUCCACAGAUUUUUCGCUGAAUCUCGUAGACCACGCUAAUAUGCUCCCUGGACCACGGUUUUUCACUGCCACUUUUCGUUUUUCGCAACAUUUGUUCGCCUCCAAAUCCGUAAAAUAUUUUAGGGGAAAAAAUUAUAGACUCUUUUCGUUUUUUUUUUUUUUUUUUGCUUGGUUGUGAAAUAAAUAAAUAAAUAAGGUUUAAAGCUUAUUAUGGUGAUCUAAACAUUGAAUAUGUAACACUCUAAUUUGGAGUUUUGUAGAGCCACUGAGAGGACUAUAAGUUUAAAAAUAAAAAAAUCUAGUACCAUCAAACUUUUGAACAGUUUUAUUGAAUUGUAACGACAUGAUCAAUCGAAUGGAAAAUUGUUUGAGCAUAUCCUUAUACCCUCAUUGACAAAUAGAUGGAAAUUUGAUGAAUAAAGCAACUAUUUAAAAAUUUACAUACAAUAUAAGCCUACACAAGUUUAGAAAUAUGAUAUAUAUCUACUGCAAUUCAUUUAAUCCAAAGAAUCUAGGUUUAAUGUUGCAUGGUAUAUCAAUUUUUUAUUAGAUAUAGUAAAUAUUUCAUGCGGGGCUAUUUCGUGUGUGAAUCUACGUAGUUUUGUUUAAAGAGAUAUCAAAAGUUAAGAGUUUACAUAUAAUAUAAGCCUACACAAGUUUAGGAAUAUGAUAAAUAUCUACUGUAAUUCAUUUAAUCCAAAGGGUAUGAUGGUUGGUAUCCAAGAUCCAAAUUCAAAUCCUAGUUGAUUCACAUUUUCAGCUAAGUUUAUUUCUAAAUGAAAUAAACAAAGUAGGUAAUAUGCUACCUAUCUCUCUCUCAAAAAAAAAAAAAAGAGAUAUCAAAAGAAUAAAUAAAAUUUUGUGUCUUUAAAUGAUGAAUAUAUAUAUAUAAAUAAAAUUUAGCACCUUUUGAAACUGAGAGGAUUUAAAAUUAUCUCUGAUAUUAUAUUAAUAAAAAAUUAGCUUACUUAAAAAAAACAGUUUAGAAAUGUAUGAAGAGCAAAUUUUUAGGGAAACAUAUUCCCAUCAUCAAGUGAAUGAUGAUAAUGGUGAUGGGGCUAGUCAAGUGCAUGGUGUCCCCAUACUCAUAAAUAUAAAAUAAGUGAAAAAAAAAAAACUAAAAAGACGAGAAAAAACUAAGUAUCUUUCUUUGACUACUCAAAUAAAGUGACAUAUUCUGAGAUUUUGAAGUAGGCCAAAGCCACAAAUAUCAAAAUUAAUAUAUAAUAAAAUAAUUCUUUUUUGGGCCCUACAUGAAAACUACAUGUCCUUCUUUUUCUUUUUUUUUUGGUUCAUAAUUAUUAAAAUUGCAUGUCGCUUUUAAAGGGGUUACAGAGAAGUUACUGGAAACCCCAUGAAGCAACACAAAUUUCCACAUCUCGUAAAGGCGACGAAGAAAGAAAUGGAGUUGUUCCCACGUGGGUCCCACACUAGAACAGUGGAAUUUUACGGAGAAACCCCUGAACUAUGGCACGUUUUGACUCAAGUUUAUUUUUUAAUUACAAUAUUGUCAUGGUGGCAUUUAACUUAGAUCGGAAUCGUAAGGUAAAAAAAUCUAGUAAUUUUGUGAAUUCUAAACUAAACUUGAAUUAGAAAAUACAUGUAUAUUUGUUUGGCAAUGUGGACAACUCACGAGUCAUGAACUUACGAGAAAAUAAUAAAAUAUGUACAAUCUUCCGAAAGUAUCAUAAAAAGAAAAGUUCGAUCACCCUCGACUCGAAAUGUCGUACUUGAGAAAGCCCAAUCUUUCUCGACGCUUAGUGCUUAGCAAGAGCAUCUAGUGGGUGCCCAUUGUAUGAACAAACAAAUAUGUAUUAUUUUGGGAUCCAAUGAUGAAAACUCUAAUGAACUUUAAUUUAGUUGUUGUUGUUUAAAUUUAGUAGUAUUACUCUAAUAUUAUAUAUAUCCAUAUCAUAUAUGAUUGUACAUGUUAGUGUAUAUGAUUGCUUUGUGUGAGUAGAAAAAAUUUUAUCUAUUUCGCGGGUUCGUUGCACGUGCUCUGGUGGGCCCAAUUGGCUGGACUCGAUGUGUGACAAAAAUUGUAUUAAAUAUCAUAACUUAAUUAGCUAUAUUAGCAGUUAAUUAAUUCCUCUUUACUCGCUAUAAAGUAGUUUGAACUAUAAAUAUUAAAUUAAUAAAAUUAUUUAAUCAAUUUAGUAAAAUCUUUCAUUUAUUUGAUUAAAAUAACUUGAUUUUGAAAAAUUAAUAGUUGAGGAGGCCUCAAGUGAAAAAACAAAGGGUAAAAAUAUAUAAAAUUUAUGGAAAACUUCAAAUAUCCCCCUUGUGGUUUCACUCUUUCUCAAUUUAAUAUCAUGUGGUUUAAAGUGUAUCAAGUUAGUACCAUAUGGUUUCGCACUUUCUCACUUUAGUACUCCGUGGUUUAAAGUGUAUCAAGUUAGUAGCCUGUGGUUUUGCACUUUCUUACUUUAGUACCAUGUGGUUUAAUAUUUCAUUAAGAGAAAAAUAAAACCACAGGGUACUAACUUGAUAAAAAAAUAAAACUACAGGAUACUAACUUGAUACAAAAAUAAAAUCACAGAGUACUAAUUUGAUACACUUUAAACCACAGGGUACUAAAGUGAGAAAAUGCGAAACCACAGAGUACUAACUUGAUACACUUUAAACCAUAGGGUACUAAAAUAAAAAAGUGCGAAACCAUAGGGGGGUUUUUGAAGUUUUUUCUAAAAUUUACCUAAACUAUGAGGUAUUCUGGCUUAGUUGCCCAAUCUUUUAAAAUUUAAUUUUAUUAUUCAAUAUUUCAAUUUAUUUAAUUUGAAUUAGUUAAUGAUAUUUUGACGAUAAAAUUUGAAUGUGUGUUUAUUUUUACAGAUUUAAUUGAUAUAUUUUAUAUAAUUUUGAUAAUUAAUAUAAAUUUAUUGAAAUAAGUAAUUAGUUUAUAUUUUAAAGUCAAAAUUUUUUUGACCGAUUGAAAUUAAAUAAAUCGAAAUGCUGAAUAGCAAAAUUAAAAUUUUUAAAGGUUGUAUAACAAUUCAAAAUAGACAAUAAUUCCGAAAAAUUCUGUGAGUUUUUACCUAAAGUAAUGAAAUUGAGGAACCAAUUUCCAAAUAGGCUAUUGUUGAGGGGUCUUAAUAUAUUUUUUCAGAAAAUAAUUCACAUAUGGACAAAUUAGCUUUAGAAAAGUCAGCAUUGAUAUAAAAUCCAUUUUUGUAAAUUUUUGGUUUUCAUACAUGAGCAAUUAAUGCUGUCUGUAUACCUAGAAAAAUGCAUAAAAUGCUAUACCAGACUUAUUUAGAAACUAAUAUUUCUCUACUAAUAUUAUUAUUAUUUUUUAAAAUGAAAAGUUUAAAAUGAACUUUUAAAUUUGAGAAAACUUCAAAAAACCUCCUGUGGUUUCGUAGUUUCUCACUUUGCCUCUUUGUAGUUUAAAAUAUAGCAAUUUGCCCGCAUGUGGUUUAUUUUUUCUCUUUUUUUUAUCAAUUUCAUGAUUUUUUUUCUUAAAUCAGUGAUAAAGUUAAAAUUAAAGGGUACUUAUUUGAUAAAUCUAGAUGGGUAUCUGAAGUUUUUUGUAUAUAAUUUAAUAAAAUAUUAACGAAAAAGGUACCCAAAAGAUAAAAAUGAAACCACAGGGAGGCAAAUUGAUACACUUUAAAUCACAGGGUACUAAAGUGAGAAACAAUGAAAUCACAGGGGGGUUUUUGAAGUUUUUCCUUUAAAUUUUAGAUAAAUAGCUAGGCUAUCAAAUUUACAUUUUACCCUUAAAUGUACAGUAGUAAUUCUCUUUAGAUAAAAAUAUAUAAAAAUUAUCUGAACUACGUACAAACUAGUUUGAUUUGAUUAUUCAAUUAAUCAAAAUUUGAUUUCACUUUCUAAUCUAUCAAUUCGUAUGAUUUGAGUCAAUCAACGAUAAUUUAAUUUCAAAAUUUAAAUAUAUUAUUUAUCUUUAUAGAUAUAUUUAGUAAACUUCAUGUAAUUCUCGCACCUACAAUUUUGUUAAAUAAAUAAUUAACUUAAUUUUCGAAUCAAAGUAUUGUUUACUGGUUCAAAUAAAAUAAAUUGAAAGACGGGAUAGUAAAUUGAAAUUUUGAAAUAUUUGUAGCUGUUUCAAAAGUUAUUCGUACGUAGUUCCGAUAAUUGUAUGCAUUUGUCCUUUCCUUUGUACAUGUCUAGCACCUCUUUUGUCUAUAUAACCCAAUUACAUACCCAACUCUCUCUCUCUCUCUCUCUCUCUCUCUCAAACCACAUAACAAUGGCUAGUCCAAACCCAGAAGCUAAAGUUAUAGCUGGUUCUACUCCGCCGGCGCUGCCACCGCAGCCGCCGACGACGAUGAGGAGCUCGUUACUGGAAGAAGUAAUAGUUCCGGAGCCGAAGAAUCGCCGGAAUGUGAGGUUCGCCUUCGCCUGCGCCACCCUUGCCUCCAUGACCUCCAUCCUCUCAGGCUAUAGUAAGAGAUGUUGUCAAUAUACAUAUCCAAAUUCUUGUAUAAUAUGUAGAAAAUAUGUUUACACGUACGAGUGCAUGGUUGGUUUUCAGACAUCGGAGUGAUGAGCGGGGCGGUGCUGUUCAUCAAGGAGGACCUGAAGAUCAGCGACACGAAGGUGGAGAUCCUGGUGGGCAUCCUGAACCUCUACUCGCUGGUCGGCUCCUUCGCGGCCGGCCGCACCUGCGACUGGAUCGGCCGCCGCUACACCAUCGUCUUCGCCUCCGCCAUCUUCUUCGCCGGCGCCCUCCUCAUGGCCCUCGCCCCCACCUACGCCCUCCUCAUGCUCGGCCGCUUCGUCGCCGGCGUCGGCGUCGGCUACGCCCUCACUAUCGCCCCCGUCUACACCGCCGAGCUCUCCCCCGCCUCCUCCCGCGGCUUCCUCACCUCUUUCCCCGAGGUUUCUAUUCUUUUAUUCGUGACUAUUCCGAAAUAGUAAGCUAUUUUAGAAAUAAAAAGAAAUUAUUUUGUAUUCGAUCGGCAACGAACGAACGAACGAACGAACGAACGAACGAACAGGUGUUCAUCAACUCCGGCAUCCUCCUCGGGUACGUCUCCAGCUACGCCUUCGCCGGCCUGCCCCUGCACCUCGGGUGGCGCGUCAUGCUCGGAGUCGGCGCGAUCCCGUCCGUCCUCCUGGCCAUGGGCGUGCUGGCGAUGCCCGAGUCCCCGCGGUGGCUGGUCAUGAAGGGCCGCCUCGCGGAGGCCGCGUCGGUCCUGCGCCGCACCGCCGACACCGCCGAAGAGGCCGAGCUCCUCCUCCUCGACAUCAAGAAGGCGGCCGGCAUUCCCGCCGACCGCACCGCCGAGGGCGUCUGGCAGGAGCUGCUCGUCCGGCCGACGGCCCCCGUGCGCCGAAUCCUCGUAUCCGCCGUCGGCAUGCACUUCUUCCAGCAGGCCUCCGGCAUCGACUCCGUCGUGCUGUACAGCCCCCGCGUGUUCGAGAAGGCCGGCAUCGCCGACAAGACCGAGCUGCUGGGCACGACGGUCGCGGUCGGCCUCGUGAAGACGCUCUUCAUCCUCGUCGCCACGUUCCUGCUCGACCGCGUCGGCCGGCGGCCGCUCCUGCUGAGCAGUGCGGCCGGAAUGGUGGCGUCGCUGGCGGGGCUGGGGAUCGGUCUGACCGUAAUUAGUCAUCGGACUGACGGCGCGGCGGCGUGGGCCGUGGCGCUCAGCAUCGCGUCGACUCUCGCCUACGUCGCGUUCUUCUCGAUCGGGCUCGGGCCGGUCACGGGCGUCUACACGUCCGAGAUCUUCCCGAUGCGCCUGCGGGCGCUGGGGUGCGCCGUGGGCGUGGCGGUGAACCGCAGCACCUGCGGCGUCGUCACGAUGACCUUCAUAUCGCUCUACAAUGCGAUCGGCAUCGGCGGCAGCUUCUUUCUCUACGGUGGGAUCGCCGCAGCCGCGUGGGUGUUCUUCUUCACCUACCUGCCGGAGACCCGCGGGCGCACGCUCGAAGAGACCGGCGAGCUGUUCAAUGAACACCCGCGUCAAGGAGAGGAGGAGCAAUUGCUACAGAAACAGGGACCACCAAUGGGCAAUUACCGAAAAGUCUAGUGGCUUAGUCUGUUAGGGAUGGGAUUGUAAGAGAGAAACAAAUGGGAGGACUUUAUUGAGAAAACUGUUAAAGAGGAUAAUGUAACUUACCCACGGAUGAUAGAUCAUUGGUUGAUAUAAUAUAAUUGGAUGGGAAAAGACGAGUACAACUGCUAGUUUUUUUUUUUUUUUUUUUUUUCUUUCUUAUAUAAUUAUUGGUGAAUAUAUAAUUAGUUGUUUGGUCUAUAACAGGUGUCGUAUUGUAAUUGUGCAUAUAUGGGUGAACGAAUCAAAUUAACAAAGGUUGAGAAGUACAUGCGACAAUUUUAGGACCAAUCAAUCAUAUAUAUACAAUAAGAAUUAAUUUAUAAGAUAUCACAUCAUUAAUUUUAAAAACUCGAAUAGUUAAAAAUACACAAUGAAUUCACUUAAAACGUACUACUAGUUUUUAAUUUUUAAUAUGAGACUAAUUUUCACAUGUAGAAAUUUAAGCACUAACUUCCUGGUGGCAACCAAUUGUCCCUAGCGCAAGUGACAAAAAGGCUUGGUGGUUGAUAUUUGAGAUCGAAAUUCGAAUCCUAAUUAAUUCACAAUUUUCAAUUAAGUUUAUUUCUAAAUAAAAUAAAUAAAGCGGAUACCAUGCUAUCUUUCUCUCUCAAAAAAAAAAAAAAAAACUUCUUGAAGGCAAGAUCCAUAGAAUGUUGGGCUGCUCAGAAAGCCUAUGGGCCAAGAUAAAGUUUUAAAACAGUAAAGUUGAAUUAAUUAUUUAAUUCUAAUAAAAUGUGCCUAUAGUUUUAAAACCAAUUGGAAAAUUGGUUUGCUCAUUAAGUAGGAAUCAAGUUUGAAACUACCAGAUAUUUGUGAUCUUGAACUAUGCAGACUCGGCAAGCAGGUUUUGGAUGCAAAAAAUUCAUGCUUCUUUUGUAAUUCUUGUCCUAGUUUAGGUCUAGAGAAAAUGAGAAAUGCACUCUUUACCUAUUGAUAUUUACUCUCCAUGAUAAAAAAAAUAAACACUUCUGGUCCUCAAAUUUUGAUUUACAUAGUGCUUUAAUCUUUAAAUUUUAAUUCGUUAUAAUUUCUGACUCAAAUUAUAAGGCCCAUGACACAUUAACUUGUAGACUUUAAUUAGCUGUACUUUUUGGCUCAAGCUAGAAGAUAUGUGACAUUUAAUUGUGAAUUGUAAUAAAUAUCUUAAUUGAUGAUAUAUCAAUAAUUAAAAUACUAUAUUAUUUCAAUAUUAGUAAUUCAUCACUACUUAUUCAAAAUAAUUAGAUUACAUAACUUGAUUGUAAUAAUUCAGAAAACUUGAGCACUAAGAUGUCAUAUACCUCAUAGUUCGAAAUACAAAUUGUAAGCAUUUCAUAUCAAAAAUAAUUUAGGUCAUGUCAUUCAUACUAUUUUAUAUUUCAUGCAAAUCUUUCGCGUAUGAUGGUUGGAGUGUACAUCGUACACUCCUUUUGAGGUGUAUGAAUAGCAUUUCUCCAUUUCUUAUGAUAAAAAAUUGUCGCAUAACACAUGAAGUAUUUAAUAAUUUACAUAAUAAAAUUGAUCUAAGCAAAAUUUAGAAUCAAACAAUAUUUUAAAAAUUAUUAGUUAAUAAAAUCUUCUCAAAAUAUCUCUUUAUUUUCACAUAUCAUUUUAUUUUCAUUUAUUAUACUUGUUCUUCACUUUUGUUGUCUAAUGAUAUAAAUUUUGAAAAACUAUUUACAAUCUGUAUCAAACAAAUGUUUGUUUUGAUCGUUCUUUUAUAUCAGUUGCAAUGUCACUGUUGUUAUUGUUGUUAUUGUUGUUAUUUGGAUAAUAACUAAAAUCCUAACUGUUCAAUUCAAAUCUAUAUUUUAUAAAAUAAUUUAUUUUAAUAUUUUAUGCGAUGUGCAUUGCACGUGCACUAGGCUAGUGCUGACUAAAAAAGGCCAUGGUUCCGGGCUUGGUGGUUUACACAAUGGGGCUGCAACAGGGGAACCUUUUCUUGGUUUCUUGGAUGGAACCAAAAAAAAAAAAAAAAGUCUAAUAACUUAGAAAUUUGUACUAAAAAAUUUUUAAAAUAAUUGCUACUGCAAGUUUUUAUCUGUCAACACAUCAAUAAUAUGUAAAAUCAAUAUUACACGAAAUUCAAAGUAUUUUUUCAAGUAAAUCUUUUUUUUUGUUUGAAUGAAUAAAUGAAAGAAAAAGAAAUAUCUUCUUUUUCCCUUUCUCUACUUUCAUAGAAAACAGUUGUUCACCGUUAUAAGCGAUCAUUUUUUUUUCUCCUCAUGUGUUAUUCCCAACGAGAAAAUUUUUUUUUUUUUCUCCAAACUUUUUUUUGCCCCCUUUCCUUUGCUCUAGAUCCGGAGUGUAAAAUAAAUAGGAUAAUUGCCUAUAUAUUUCUCAUACGUUUGAAAAUAUUCAAUUUAUUCCUUUUUUUUUCUUUCUAAAAUGCCCUUCGUAUAUUCCACCGUUAUUGCAAAAUACCCUGCAGUUAUCUCCUAUUAAGAAUUAGUUUGGAAUUGAGGUCUAUCUAACGCUAUUAUAUAAAAUGAAGUUAAGAAAAAACAUAUAGGGAUAUGCUUUUGCGUUCUCCGGUGGGACCGCAGAAAAUGUAUCGUAACCAACUCAUCGCGAUAUGCGGAACGCAAUAUUACGUACGGAAACAAACAGGAUAUUUUUCCAACGUAUUUUCUCACCGCAUGUAACGCAAUCUCCCCGCAAUCCCAAACGAAGCCUAAGACUUAGUUUGGUAUUGAGGCCUAUCUAACGCUAUUAGAUAAAAUGGAGUUGUGGAAAAAGGAUAUGCUUCUGCGUUCUCCGGUGGACCGUAGAAAAUAUAUCAUAACCGAAUAUGCGUACUAGGGUAUUUUCCAACGUACUUUCUCACGGCACGUAAUGCAAUCUCCCCGCAAUCCCAAACGAAGCCUAAGUUAAGUUCCGUUAAACGUAAGUUAAAUAUCUACCACAGUUAAAAAAACUUAGAAUACCAAUUUUGCCCUUAACUUAAGGACAAAUAAGAAAUGCCCUUAACUUAAGGACAAAUAAGAAAUGUUAGUGACGGUAGAGGGGUAUAUUAGAAAAGAUCAAAAGUCAAAAUACUUUUUUUGCCCCUGACUUUAAAGGCAAAUAAGAAAGUUAGUGAUGGUGGAAAGGUAUAUUUAAAAGGGCAAAAUAGUAAUUUUACAGCGAUAACAGAGUUAAUUAACCGAUUUUAAUAGGGUAUAUUAGAAAUAGAUUGGAACUUAGAAAUGGUAUUUUCAAUAUUAACCUCCUAAGAGGAGUAAAUCGAAAAAUCGAAAACUUUUCAGAAUAAUAUAAGCAAGUGCCCCAAAAUAAAUCAUACCUAAACUUCCAUUUUGUAUGCAUCCAUGUAUUCAUUUAUUUAUUAAAUUUUUUUUUAUAAUUUUUAUACUAUACCAGCGUGGAGGUCGCGGAAGUUUAACGUGCACAUCGGAUCCAAUAAAGCACUUCUUUACGAGUACCUGAAGCAAAUAACAAAUGACAAUACAAUCCAUAAUCCAUAUUUCUAACCAAAUUUAUUUUUAAAAAUAAUAAAUAAAUAAUAUACUGUAUAAUUUAUAAAAAAUAUAAUAUAAUUAUUAUGCCUUCACCGCAUUGAUGAGAGAGAUUUCUUAUCCUAAUUUAUUUAUCAUAAACAGGAUAAAAUUUUAGUACGGAGCUCUUUAAUAAGAUAUUAUUAGAAAAUUUUGAUUCGCUGAUAUGUGUUUAUUUUUUCUAUACAAAAAAAAUUCAUUGAAUGUUUUUAAUAUUAAAAUUUAUUUUUUUAGAUUUUAAAAAAACUAUAAUUUUUAAGUAAAAAUAAAAUUAAUAAUAACAGCAAAUUACGGUUCCUUAACAAGCCGCAAUUGGGUUGAAAAUUUUUUUUUUCUAAAUUUGUGCCGAGGGAUAACGAGAAUACACUCCCGGAAAAUUAGGCAACGGGAAUUCCGAGCCAACUAAGCCGAGUGGGCCCCACGAUGUAUUAUCAGAUAUAUUUAUCCUAAAUUCACGGAUGCAAAUGAAUCCGGAUUAGGGGAGCUCCUAUCCCUUCUAUAGAAAAAAUAAUUCAUUCUGAAUCCGUCUCUAUCUAUCAAAUAUAUGAAGCGGAAGAUGAAAGAUUUUUUUCUUCCUUUAAUCCGUGUCGAGCCGUUAAAAAUUUGCUCUUAUCAUGAUCUGUCCCAAAGGAGACUUUAAGUGAGAGUCAAAAAUAAAAUAAAAAAUAAUCCGUCUCGCUCCGACAAAAAAUAGAGCAGGCGGUGAUGGAACACUCCCUCCCCAGUAUCGCCAUUUGCAUCCCUAGUCUUAUUGGAGAGCUUUGGAUGCCUAACCAUAUAUUAAUUUCCCUUCAAUUUAUAAUUUAUUAAAUUGACAAAAUUAUUUUUUAAGAAAAAUAUAAUUUUAGGAAAAAGUCAAAAGAUAUGAGAUGAACUCCUUGACAAGAUGUUGCAGACAAACUCUCAACUAUAAUUUUUUCUAGCUCUAGGCUCAUCCAAAUCUAUAUCUCUAUACCUAUCUACUUAUAAUUAUUCUUUUUAAAUUUGGCACAUGGUAAUAUUUUCUUCGCUGUUAGGUGUCGAUUCUAUCCCGAGCUGAUUCUCCUCCAUAUAUAUAUAUAUAGAUAAUAUAUAUAAUAUAUUAUAUAUAUAAUAGUAUAUAAUAAUAUUUAUUCUAAUUUGAACUAAAAUCGAACUAAUUUUUUUUUUUUGAAUCGACCAAUCAUAUCAGUGUCGGCUCUCCGAACUGCUCAAGCCUUUGAAUGUUCCUUUUUUGUUAAUCAAAUUUUUUUUUUUUUCACUGAACCGAACGCCAGCUACACCUCUUAUGAGUUUAACGUUCUAUUUACUUCGAUGAUACAUUUUUUCAUCUGCUAUAAUAAAUUUAUUUUAACAUCGGUUUUCUUUCACACUAUAUCUUUCAUUAGUAUUUUAACAUUUAUUUAAUAAAUAUUCAUACGCAAUCUAGGGGUAAAAAAAAGGACCCUUUAUGAUAACAACAUCCGCCCUAAGGAUUCGCAUUAAGAUCGAAAUGCAUGCGAACAUAUCACAAUAAUUGUUCUUUCCUCUCCCGAUUCUCAGUACACCGGUCAGAGCAUUUCUUCGCCCCAUUCUCACCCAUCGCACAAAAAUCCCCCCAGGACGAAGGAGCCGGAAGCGAACGUGUCAGCCCCGCCUCUGAUUCUCCUCUCUCUCUGCUCUCUCACACUCAACUCCGGAGUCCCCUCAAUUCUCAUCUCUUCGCUCCCCCCCCCCGCCCCCCCCUAAACGCAAUCAACGUUCCUUCUUCUCCGCAAACACCGACCCUCUCACUCUCUCUACUCCUCAUCUCAUUCUCUCUUUCUCCCUUUAAACCCCUUCCCUGCUUCCCGCACUCCACACGCAUUGCCAACGCAUUAUGUGUUUGAGCGAAUCUCGCCUCCCCUUUUCUCCCUAUCCCUCCGUUUACAUCGAAUCCCUCUGAAAAAGUAUGCUUUUUGCGACUCACUGGAAUUGGCGAUUCAUGGGAUCUCCGGACAGAGAGUGUGCGGUGAUACUGGUCGGUGGACCCACUAACAGGCUUUCUUUUUCUUUUUUUUUGAGAUCUCGCCCUAAUUCCGUUCCCAAACUGAGAUCUUGUUGAUGGGUUUUGUGGAUUUUGAAGUGAUCGUUGGGCCUUUGAUGCAGGGACGCGGUUUCGGCCGCUUUCACUGAACGUGCCGAAGCCGCUUUUCCCGUUGGCGGGGCAGCCGAUGGUGCAUCACCCCAUCUCCGCAUGCAGAAGAGUAUGUGAUGUGAAACAUUAGAUCAAUGCAUGUGUAAUUUUGCUGGUAAUAUAUUAGGAUCUUAGUUCCUUCCUUGUAGUAUGUUAAUACGUUGACUUGAAACUUGUAGAUCCCCAAUUUAGCACAGAUAUACCUGAUUGGGUUCUAUGAGGAGAGGGAAUUCGCGCUUUAUGUGUCGGCGUUAUCCAAUGAGCUUAGAGUUCCUGUUAGGUAAAAAUCCCUUUUUUGUGUGUGUUUGUAUUAACAUGGAUACAUGAAAGCUCUCUCCUUUGAAGUGUUUGAUCGAUCUGUUUUCGUUUAUUUGUUUUAGAUAUUUGAGGGAAGAUAAGCCACAUGGCUCGGCAGGAGGGCUGUACAGCUUCAGAGAUUACAUAAUGGAAGACAACCCGGUUUGAGAUCUCCUCGUGUUCUUUUAUUUGCUUCUUGUUAAUGUUAUAAAAAUAGAAGCAAUGUGAUGCAAAUUAAACUGUUUUGUUACUUUUAUUUAGAAUAUAAUCGAAGCAGCAACACUUCCACACUGCGAUGACAAGUUUUAACCAAGUUGUGAUUGUAAAUUUGUGAAGUUUUUCUUUUGUUUCGCAGUCUCAUAUAGUUUUGCUGAAUUGCGAUGUUUGUUGUAGCUUUCCCCUCCCAGAAAUGCUUGGUGAGUGUCUGAUGUAGCUCCAGUCUCUUGUUUAUCAAUGUUCUUAUACCUUCUUUAUUGCAGAAUAUUCGCUUUUUGGUAUGUAUUAUACUCGAUUGCAUAUUUGCAUGAUAGUAUGAAAUCCCUUCCUCAUCAUUUACCCUUACAAACUCCAUAUAAGAAAAAACUUCUCUUUUAGUUGCUUGAGUUAUACUGUGAAAAAUUGGAACACUUUUUAUUGUGCAGAAGAUUAUACUUUGCAAUUUUUGUCUAAAAUUAUACCAAUUUCAAGCUCUGUUAUGGUAUUUAAUUGCUUCAUUUCUCUCCGUGAAUGCAGAUGCCCAUAAAAGAUAUGGUGGAAUGGGUACUGUAUUAGUAAUAAAGGUGUGGGAAUGAUGCAAAGAUUGCUCUUGUCAAUUCUUAUCUGAUUGAUCUGUUACUGCCAUUCAUUUUCGAACAUGUGUGACUAAUUCCACUUGUGUGCAUGUUCAGGUAUCAGCUGAGUCAGCAAGCCAAUUUGGUGAGUUGGUGGCUGAUCCUGUCACAAAUGAACUGCUACACUAUACAGAGAAACCGGAAACUUUUGUGAGUAUACAUCUUCAGAAUCAUGUUACUUCUUGUUAGCUUUUGUUCUAGGAAGUUUAUUAAGUGACAUCACUCUAUCAUGGUUUUCACUAUGUGUAGGUGAGCGACCUUAUAAAUUGUGGUGUCUAUAUAUUUACACCAGAUAUCUUUAAUGCCAUAGAAGAUGUCUUUACAGAGCGGAAAGACAGAGGUAAAUGUGAAUGAAUUAUCGAAUAUAGCUUAUUGUUUAACUCUUAAUUUUACAUUUUCUGAAAGAAACCUGAUUUUUCGUAAUCUGAUAUUUCAGCUAAUAUACGACGCGUAACCAGCUUUGAAGCACUCCAAUCAGCAACAAAGUACUUACGAUAUGUAACUUUGUAACAUGUGUUAUUAAUUUCACAGAUCUGUUAUUUUACCAACAUGAAUUAGACUGUUGGUGACCUUUUUUCCAUUACUUUAUUUUCAACCACUAUUGCAUUUGUUGGAUUCACCUGGUCAUCCUACGUUGCACCUUAACAACAAGGUGUCAACGUGAUAGUAUGAUAUGGUCUGAGCUGGCAAUAUGCAGCGACUCAGAAUGUGCUUUGCCUCCAUAUUAGUGGUUUAAGGUUUCAAUUCAGCAUAUACUUACUUAUUUUUCUUGUUUGGUUAUUUCAAAAAAAUUCUUAAUUUAGUAGUUCCAUAUUGUUACUGCGAUUGAUCUGUUGCAGCUCUCUAGAUGUUAUUCAUGUCCGAGUUAGUUCUUUUCCAUAUAUCAUCUUGUUGAUGGUACCUUAUUUUCUUUUUGCUGAUCUAAUUAUUCUUUCAAAAUUUGUCGUUGGUAAUAAAUGUUUUUUGAUACGUUGCUUUCCCAAGAGAUGCUAUUGAAUAUACAGUAUCUUCUAGUUGAUACUAGUUUCUCAUAUUUGAAUAUUUUUCACAGUUCACUUUAGAGACUUGUAAUGGUGGGUUGGUUUCUUAUGGUUUCUUUCCCUGUAUUUGGCUUUAACAGGGCUCUUCCUGCAGACUAUGUUAGGCUGGAUCAGGAUAUCUUAUCCCCUCUUGCAGGGAAGAAAGUACUCUACACGUAUGAGACACUCGACUUCUGGGAACAGAUUAAGACUCCAGGGUAAAAAAAAAACUCUCCAGAUUUAUUUUCAAUUUUCCUAAACUAUUGUAUUGGCAAUAACUGGUGCUUUUUUAUGCACAGGAUGUCGUUGAAAUGCUCUGCCCUGUACCUUUCUCAAUUCCGCCAUACCUCUCCCCAACUUCUAGCAGCAGGAGACGGGGCGAGAAGGGCCACAAUCACUGGUGAUGUGUAUAUCCAUCCAUCAGCAAAAGUGCAUCCAAGUGCAAAGGUAGUUUGCUUUUGAGAGAUUUACAUACCCCUACAAAAAUUAUAUUUUUACAGAUCUUCCCCUGCAAUCUGAAAUUUUACAAAUGCUUCAGAAACUUUGUUUCUUUCAUUUAUAUCUGUGAACUUACCAAAGUCCCCCCCUGUAAGAAGACCUUUAAACUAACAUGAUCAUGCAAUCGGCUAAUGGAUUUUGUUCAGUUUUAUACCUAAAUCAUAAUGAAAUAUUCCUUGUGCUUUUACUUUAUUUAUAUACGAAAGUACAUGUAAUAUAUGUCUUAAUUGCAUGUAAGAAGAUUUAGUCAACCUACAUAUUUUGAACUACAUUACUGUUGAUAGCAAUGGGAUGUUAAUACAAUUAUAGUGAGAAUAAGUAGCAGCAGAUUAAUAUUAAAGAAUUACACUGGUAAACAUGAUCUAUGAUCUAGAACAUUAAGCAUGUCGACUAACAAAAAUACAAUAGAAACUAUCCAAUGUACAGGCAGUAUGGCUGCUCUUCCUGAAAUACUCUUAUUAGGCUGGUGUGAAGCAUGAAUUAUGAGGCUACCCAAUACAUAGACGAUAGUGCUUCAGAUAUGUUAUUUUGUGUAAUCAACCUUUUUGACCUUAGCAACAAUGCCUAGAAGAUCUUUAAAGUACUACAUCAUUUUAGGUCAGCACUUUUGUUUUUGUCCAAGAUCUUACUGUCUUGUUUUUGAAUACUGAUGUGUAGCUUUCAUUGAACAGAUUGGCCCUAAUGUAUCAAUAUCAGCCAAUGCUCGUAUUGGAGCUGGUGUUAGGCUUAUCAGUUGCAUCAUUCUAGAUGAUGUUGAAAUUAAGGUGUGUUAGAUUGGGCAUGGUUGAUGAAUGAGUAAUCAUUUCUUGUCAAGCUUGUUAAUAAGGUUCCUUUCAUUACAGGAAAAUGCAGUUGUUAUUCAUUCUAUUGUUGGGUGGAAGUCAUCUAUUGGGAAGUGGUCUCGUGUACAGGCAAGCUUACAUUUUAGGUUUCUACCUUGUGUUGAGAAUUUUAGAACCGCAAGAUUAUGUCAAUGUUUGUUCUUAUGGUUAUUCUUCAUUAUAAUGUUCUCGGGAUAUCAUAUUUCUCAAGUGGUUGUUUAUGUUCUUAACAAUGAACUUCUAAUUAAGAAUUUUACCUUUUGAACAGUUCCAAAUCCAAGUAGCAUUCAAUCUUACUUUGUUUUUCCGUAUCCAAGUAUGCCAAAAAGUCAUAUGAGUCCAACUCUUCAAGGCCCGCAAUACUGUCUAUAAUUAAUGAGAUGGCUGCAUUGGUCUUUUAAUCUUUAAUUUGCUACUUUGUAAAUAUUACAUUUGGUAUUAUCAGUCAUGUUGAAGCUUUCGUUAUCAGUCAUGUUGAAGCUUUCAUUGAUUAACAUAAUUACUUGCAGCAUCUGUUUUAGACUUGAUGUGGGAUUGCAUUCUCCAUAUUUCUUACUUGAAAUACCUUUUUGUAUUUAGGCCAUUAUUAUCAAUAAUAUACAUAUUAAAUUAUGAAUUAUGUCUUCAGUAAAAAUAGUUAAACAUUAGUAUAGAUUCUGUGAUGCAUACGAAUACUUAUGAGUUUUCUACUACUGCCUCUUGGUAAAGAGAGUCCUUUGUUUGUUUUGGAUCCAUUUAGUUGGAUAUAUUGCAGAAAGGGAUUAACUUCCUGUUAUAGUCUGGAUGUAGUUAGUCAAGAGGUUCCAAUUCAAGAAAGGCGUGACGAUGAUCCCUCCUCUAGAUUCUGACUCCUCCCUCAUGAAACUGUUUGAUUGAUUACAUACACAAGUAAUUCUGCGUGUAAUAAAUUCGCAAAAGUUCUCACUGCCCUAUUGCAGUGGUUUCUGAUGUUGAUGCUUUGAUUAAAAUUACCAUUUUUUUUGCCAGCUUAUGUUAAUUUGUGCUUACUAGCGCCAUGCAUUUGAAUUUGUAAACACUUUGUCAAUUGCCAGACAAAAACGUAGCAUAAGGUUACCAAUACUUCUCAUCAUUUUUCUGUUGUUUUUAAAGAUCCCGCUAUAAAUUGCAGGGAGAGGGAGACUACAAUGCCAAACUCGGGAUUACUAUCCUUGGUAAUGCUUGAUUUCUCUUCUCUUAUCUUCAACUGUUGUGUAUGAAGUGGAACGCAAAUGAAGGACUUUAGUCUAUUCAAACAAUUAAUCCUUUUGCUUCAAUUGCAGGUGAAGCUGUGACGGUUGAAGAUGAAGUGGUGGUGAUUAAUAGCAUCGUCCUCCCGAACAAGACCCUAAAUGUCAGCGUGCAAGAGGAGAUCAUCCUGUAACAGUGAAGUGACUCCCAAACAAAAUCUCAUAGAACAGCUUAUGGUUUUCAUUUUUGUUCAUUUAUCACUAUACAUCUUCCGAACUUUUGUAUUUCCUUUUCUUGAAGUUUUAGAGCUGCUGUUGUUACUUCUCUAGAGGUUGCUACCCGCCAACACAAAGGCUAUAUUUUUCUCCAACCUAUUUUAUGAUUAGAUUAUCGGAAUUGUAGUCUUGUAGCAUUUUGUUUAGACAUGUAAGUGAAUGAAUAAUAAGCAUCAGUGUUGGAUAUGUGUUGGAUUUAAGAUCUUGUUGUCUCCUUCUCUUUGAACUUUUCUUUUGUUUCCCUUUUUUUUCAAUAUAUUUUUAUAAAACUCAAGAGAAGUUCAUGUUAAUUUAUGCUUUCGUUUUCCUUCUUGUUCUAUACUAUUUAUUUUGGGGGGGGGGAGGAGCUUAAAGGUCUAAUCUUACCAGGUUGAGUAAAAAACUAGGUGACAUAAACUUCUUUUUUUUUUUUUUGCUGCAAAUCUAGUAGUAGAGAAUUAUUUCACCUGCUCUUCACAUGAAUGGUUAGUUGGGAGCAGGAAAAAUCCAUAUGAAUGUUCAUAAACUACCUUCCUGACUCCUCUAGGUGAAUACUGAUACUGUGACCACCAUUCCCAGGAAGCAAAUAAUGUGGAGGUACCUAGAAUAAGUUGCUUUUUAGUGGUCUAAUUAGUGUAAGAAUCAAACCUAAUUUACUGUCUAUUUUCAAUUCCAAAAUAGAUCCUGUAGCUUAUUGGAUUUAAACCUGAAUCUCCUCAAACAUGAUCAUAUGCUUGUAGUGUUUCUUUUUUUUUAUUUCACACCCAAAAGAGAAAAAGGAUUUAGAUUUCAAAUUCUUCUAUGCCGACCCUUCAACACCCUGUAGGGUUGGCCCUUUGAUGAUGUGAUGGAAUACAACGCCCGCGCGCUCUCGCGCGCGCGCGCGCACACACACACACAUAACCGCACAAAGAAAAUUCAAACAUUUGAGAUAUUAAUGCUUGUGAUUGGUGCAGUUUUACAUUUGUGGACCGUACUUUUAUCGGUCUUUUCAUCUCAUUUUAUAUUUCAAAUCUUGUAAGUUGCAGCUUAUUGACUUUGUAAAAGCUAAUAAUUGGAUUUUAACUAUAAAAUGAAAUGAAAAUGUUGAUUGGGGAAAGACACACACAUGGUGCAGAAGAAGAUAUCUCUCCAACAUUGUGUGGUGAAGUUCAACGAAGAUCAUGAUUGGGGUUGGAGAUGAUUGUACCAGCGAAUCAAACAAUAUCUAGCAAAAGAAAAGAAACAUGAAAAAGUUAUGGAUAUUCUCACUGCUGUCUUGUGGUUGCAAUUUAUUCCCUCAAAAGUUUUCACUUAGGCCUGUUUAGAUACUCCUAAAAAUAAAGCAUAGUUAAACUAUGCUAUGCAGAAAAAUUAUCCCUUGGAAAAAAAAAUAACGUAAUUUUUUGGAAGAAAAAAAAAUAAUGUAAUUUUUCAAGUAUAGUUAAAUUAAACUUCAAAAAAUGAAGUAAAAUUAUAAUCCAUUCUAACCAAAGAAAAGAAUUCCACCAUUUUUAAGCUUCCUUAUUCCAAAAAUAUAUCAAGCUCUAAAUUAUAAAUUCCAACAUAAAUUUUAAAUUUCAACCUAGAUUUAAAUUUUAAAUUUUAAAAUUAAAUUUUAAUUUCAAUUCUAAAUUUUAAAUUUAUAGUUUGAAUUUAUAUUCAAAUUUUUAAUUUUGAAUUUUAAAUUUUAAAUAUAAAAUAUUUAAAUUUUAUAAUUUCAAAAUUUAAAUGUCAAAUUUCAAAUUUUCAAAUUUAAAAUUUUGAAUAUUAAAUUUUAAAUUUUAGUUUUCAAAGAAUAAAUUUCAAAUUUUAAAUUUUAAAUUUCAAAUUUUCUAAUAUUAUAAUUUCAAAUUUUAAUUUUCAAAUUCCAAUUUUCAAAUUUUAAUUUUCAAGUUUCGAAUUUCAUAUUUUAAUUUUCAUGUUUCAAAUUUCAAAUUUUAAUUUCAAAUUUCAAAUUUUAUUUUAAAUUUAAAUUUUUAAAAUCUAAAUUUCAAAUUUCAAAUUUCAAAAAUUAAUGUUUCAAAUUUUAAAUUUUAAAUUUUGAAUUUUAAAUUUUAAAUUUUAAAUUUCAAAUUUCAAAUUUUAAAUUUUGAAUUUGAAAUUUUAAAUUUUAAAUUAUAAAUUUCAAACUUCAAAUUUCAAAUUUCAAAUCUCAAAGUUUCAAAUUUGAAAUUUCAAAUCUCAAAUCUCAAGUUUCAAAUUUCAAAUUUCAAAUUUUAAAUUUUAAAUUUAUAUUUUAAAUUUUAAAUUUUAAAUUUUUUAUUUCAAAAUUUAAAUUUUAAAUUUAGAUUUUUCUAUUUCAAAUUUGAGAUUUUAAACUUUCAAAUUUUAAUUUUUAAAUUUCAAAUUUCACAUUUCAAAUUUUAAAUUUUAAAUUUUAAUUGAAAUUUUAAAUUUUCAUUUUAAAAUUUAGAGAAAUUUCGUGGAAUUGCAUGACGCGCAUUUAAAUAGUUUAAAAAUUGAAUCCGUAGAAUUUUUUAGAGUUACAUGAUUUCCUAUUUCAUCUAGACCAAAAGCAAAGUUUAUAAAUUCCGUGGAUAUUUUUUACUGUAUAUCCAAACAAGCCCUUAGCGGGUGUUUGGUUAUAUGCAAAAAGACUCUGAAAAAUAAUUUUCAGUUGAAAUAUAUUUUGUUGAUGUUCGAUUCUCUGUAAAAAAAUUUUCUCAAAAAUUUUCUUUUACGAAUCCGCUGAAAAAUUAGAGUUUUCGCUUGCCCCUCUAUUCGAGCAGAAAACGGAAAGCUACAGGAAAAAAAUAGCAGGGCUCAUGCCUUUUUGCAUGCGGUCCUCAGGACCACCUGAGAGAGAGAGAGAGAGAGAGAGAGAGAGAGAGAGAGAUGAGCGGUCCUCAGACCAACCUGAAGAGAGAGAGAGAACAGUGCUCUCUCUCCUCCUCUUUGAUUAAUAUAUAUAUAUAUAUAUAUAUAUAUAAAAAUUGAGCUUAUAUUUUUAAAUAUAUGUUAUAUUGCUUGUAAUUUUUGGCCAUUGAAUUAAAAGAAUGUAGAUUAGAAUGAUUGGGUCCUUUAAGGUAGUGAGUGGUUAGUUGAAUAGUGUAAUCUAAUGAUUGAAAAUGAUCAAAAGACGUAUCUAACGUUAAAAACUUACAAGUAUCAAGAGCUUGAUGCUUUUACAAGCACCGUAGCCAGAUUCUCUCUCUCUCUCUAUAUAUAUAUAUAUAUAUGUAAUAUUUUAAUAUAAAUUAUAAUAAUUAAAUAUAUUAUGAUAAUUAUUAUAUAUUAAUAAUAUAUAUAAUAAAAAAUAUAUUAAAUAAUUUUUUAUUUUUUUUUUCAACCAGACAACCGUUAUGAAAAUCUUUUUUUUUUUCUAUGAACCAAACACUAAACAACCUAAAACUUUUUUUUUUCACUGAAAAUUUUUUACACCGAAAUUUUUUUUCACAAUUUUACGUGAAACCAAACACACCCUUAGUGUUUAUAUUUUCUUACGUUGCAUUCAUCCUUUGCUCAAUUUUUUUAAAAAAAAAGUCAGCAAGUGAUCUUGUCCCAUAAACCAACUAUAUGAGAAAGUCCAGGGACUGAAACCAAGUCUCAAGUACUAUCCAAACAUUUAAUCCAAAGAAAACAAAUUAUACCUAACAUAUAUUUAUUCCUCGUCUUCUCCAUUUGUUUUUUUUUUUUUUUUUUUUGAGAGAUAGAUAGCACGCUACCCGUUUCGUUUACUUCAUUUAAAAAUAAACUUAGCUGGAAAUAUGAAUCAACUAGGAUUCGAACUUGGGUCUCGGAUACCAACCAUCAAGUCUUUUGCCACUUGCUUUAGGGACAGCGGUGUCUCCAUUUGUUGUGGAGAAAAAGAAGAUGUGGAUGAGAAUCCAUGUUCUUUAUCUAGAUCUGUUUUCCUGAUCAUCAAUCCACUAGCAAAAAUAUCACCAUCAAAUUUGGCAUCACCAGCAAGUAGAAAAAGUAACCAAAAAAUAAAAAAAAUAAAAAUUGCUGGGCUUUUUGCAGGGGCCAGGGGGGUGGGACUUAAAGAGCUAUCCAACUAUAUCUUCUCCAUAGUUCCACCCCAUAAGCUACUUGCUAAGUACAAGUGCUUCUCCAAAAAGCAGCAGCUUCUGAAACAUCCUCCACUACAACAUGAUGCUCAAAGCUCCAUAAAAGAGCACAUCUCCAAUCAGAUAUUCCACUGGAAUAUUAGCAUGUAUUAAGCAAGUAUAAGUGCAACACCCACCUUCUCCUAAGCUUUACACCCAUUAUUAAUAUAUUAUGCAUGUGUAAUUUGGUAAUGGCAUAUCCACUCACCUUUGUGCUUUGAUUUAUACCUUGCAAUGUAAUCAGAAUGGUGUAAUGGCCUAAUGUUGGGCAUCCAUUACAUGGUAAAUCCUUUAUUAAUAAAUUUAGGGGGAAAGGGUGUAUGAUGACUUUGUUGAGAGCUCCCAAAAAGGAGCAACCAACCAAUGUGUUAUAAUAAAGAAUAAUCCCCAUCUUUCCAAAUUAGUUAUUGUACAUGUUGAGCUUAGUUUUCAAAGCAUCUUGAUUGUCGCGAGAAAAGAUGAUACCGGAAGCAAUUAUAUAAGGAUGAUGUUAUUGACAUAGCAAUACUUAUUAUUUCUUGACGAGAAUGUUGAAUCUGAUCAAAUUUGCUAGCCAGAUUCGUGUACUUAAGUCUAAGGACCUGGGAAAGGUUUGGAGGUAGAAAACCUGUAGCAGUGAUCUACCUAAGAAGCGAAAUCGUCAGAUUACAUAGUAGUAAUCUGAUAUCCUCAACAAGUGCAAGGUUUGGUGUGAACAGUAUAGACCGGAAAAACAAGAAUCAAGGAAAAUUCUUACCAUGGCAAGGACUGAAGUUCCUCCAAUGUGAACUUCAUGUUAUUCUCCAACUGUUGAAAGCAACCUACUCAUGAAAAGGACACCAAGAAGGAAAAGUAUUUUGGGCUUCUAUAUUGGGCUUCUUCUAUACCGUUAAUGUGUUGGCAAACUUAUAUGUUAUUUUUGAAUGUAUGAAUCUAUUAAUAGCUUUUACAUUAUAUGUUUGUCGACGCAUCGACAAUAUUUAAAGAUAGCAUUUUGGGAGGUCUGUAGAAUUACUGAAAACCGUCAAAAUUGUAAAGUAUGUUAUUAUAAGCAUGGGAAUAGUUAAAAUAUGAGUCUCAUAAUUGAGGUGAGGAAAGAAGGAAAAGCUAAGAUAUGACACUUGAUAGUAUUGCCCUUAGAUUGCGAACCUUGUAAUUUUGAUCCAUAGAAAUAAGUGGGUGUGACUGAAUGAAUAGGAAAUGAAAGUGAGGAAUCUCCAAUUUGGAAUUGGCAACAGUAAACAUGAAAGAGGCAUUGUUUAUGGAAUAACAAGCACCAACAAUGUGGGCCACUAAUAGGAACAAGAUAGGCACUGAACUGGAAAGAAAAAUCCAUGCCACUUCCAUUCUCCCUUGACUAGUUGCUCUCCUCUCAAUUAUUCCCAACACUUCUUAACCUCCUCUACUGCAUCUUUUUAAGUGAAACACUUCACAACCAAAAGGCUCAAGUAGACUUUCCAUUCUGCUUCCUCUAAAAGCUCAACUUAACAUAGUUUGUGUUACCCCAAAUGGAAAAUGAAGAAGUGGGGGAGACAGAAGGAAGCAGUAGUGGAGAACUCGGCAACAAUUUCGAUGGAGAAUGGUUGGAUUUAAGCCUUGGUGGGCUUAAUCAGAAAAGCACUUCUGACCCUCCACCAGCUAAAACAGCUCCUCACAAGACAUUCUCAUGCAACUUCUGCAUGAGGAAGUUCUUCAGUUCGCAGGCCCUCGGAGGGCACCAGAAUGCGCACAAGAAGGAGAGGGGUGCCGCGAGGAAGUCUCACCAGCUGUCGCAUAGGACGAUUGCAAAUUUGCCCGCCAGCACUCCAAUCCUUCAGUCUCUAAGAGUGCAUUCUCAUUCGAUGGUGCAGAAGGCGCCUAGAGAAAGCAGUGCAGUCAUGGUGGCGAGAUUCGGCGCGAUCGCGCCGGACACGAGGAUCGGAUGGGCCCCCUUUGAAGAAGAAACAGGUUUGAUGUGGCCAGGGAGCUUUUUAACAGAUUCUCAGCAGCUGAAGAACCAAACAGAGCAGCAAAAGCUUGAUUUGAGUCUUCGGCUUUAGCAUAUACUUUUGACAGGUGAGAAUUGCUCGCCGACCGGCUUUAGAAACGGCAAGAUGAAAGGGCCUUUUCAGCGAAUCGCAGUUUGGUUUCUGAUCUUUUACUUCUACAUGUUAGUGUCUAAACUUACCGAAUUUCUUGCGAUGUCAUAAAAAAAAAAAAAAAAUCUUAUGUUGUUCAGCUCCUAGCUAGAGAUUUUGGAGAAAAAUUCACCUGGGGAUGGCACUGCAAGCAAUUGGGUAGUUCAGUACUGUCUGAAAGAUCUGGGGCAUACUUGCAAUUCAUCAAAAGUUUAGAGACUACUCGUGCAUUUUACGUUUUUAGAGACUAACAGAAUAUGAUCUUCAGUCAACCAUUAGAAGGCUGGUUGCUAAUUGUGCACAAUUAUGUCAAAUGAAUAGCAAAUCGAAAGUUUGCAGGUGCUUCUAGCAAAUAUGACAACAUGUAGUUGUGAUUCAAUACUAGCCAUGUGCAUCAAUGGUUUAUAAACAAAUUUGAUAUUGCAGGAUCACCUGGUCCCCAAUCUCGCUUAAUUUCGAAGGCUCUGUUUACCGCUGUAAGAUACCGCUGUAAGAUAUAGUUCAGGAAGCUUAUUUAAUUCAAAUAUCGCACCAUCAAAACAUUAUAAUGAUAUCUACUAUUUUUAAACAACAUAAAAGAUAUGUAAACUGACAGUUUUGGAGCUUGUACCAGAAAGCAGCUUUGUUUUGAGAUUUCUCAUGAAACUCCUUCCUUAAUUCAUGUAACUUCUGUUAAGUCGCGAGCUCAACAUGUUAUUUUUUUUUCCUUCAAAAAGAUAAUUUUACCCUUCAAUUGUAAAAUGACAUUUCCUGCCGCAAAUUUAUACAAAAAAAGGGGGCAAAAUGGUCAUUUGAUAGACGGGCCACAUGCUGAAACCAUGAAUCAAUGAAAAAUGAGGUAAACUUAAGUGAUUGGCAGGUGAUUUGUCAAUGGACUAAAAGCCAGAAUAUCAGUUAACUACAGGAACUAUCCACACAUUUCGGGCGUUUUUGGUAGUAUCGGGCUCCAACUCAUCGUACUGGCAAGUUCAUUGAGCUCGACAUCACGCAGUCUAUGCAUGAAGUCAUGAGCACGCGCCGUGCACGAAAGGGGCGGUUUCUGAGACAAUUCUUAUGAGGGUCCCAGCAAGAAAUCGAUCUGUGCUGAAAUACAUUUCAGGUGCACCUCAAAAUCAUCGAUCUUCAGACUUUCACGUGCUCAAGACUUCAGAAAGCGAGUCCAUCCCUGCCAAACAUGCCCUUUACACAUAAACAAAAUUUUGUUCCCUUUGCACUCGAAAUGAACAUAUGAUUGGCUUGACAAACAUUCCACUACGUUAGUUACAAUUGCAUCAAUUCUAGAAACAUCCAAUAGAUACCUCUAUCUACUUUAGUUAUAAGCAUAUUACAAUAUGGCUAUAAUGAAGGAGUGGAAUAGCUUCUGCUGCAACUGGUUAUCCACUUCUUCAAAUAGCAUGUUAAUGCAUGUUUUUUUUUUUUUUCUCCGAGUUAAAAGAGGAAAACCUCCCAAAAUAUCAUUGCCAAAAUAAAGUUGUACAGAAUCUGAAAGCAAUAGAAAUUACAAAGCAACUCAUAAAUAGUUCAGAUCUUAACCUUGAUAUUUAAGACAACCCGAUAUCUCUAUAUUCGUUUUCUUCUGAGCAAAAAAAAAAAAUCUUAUACACUGCUGGCCAAACCAAUUGCUUGGUGAUUGAUAAAGAUCAACUGCAACCUGAGAAUUACUGCCAGUGCAGAGGUGCCUCAACCAUAUUGUGGCUUACAAUCUUCCAUAAUAACUUUUCUUCGUGAGAUACUUGCAUUAUUCUAAUAGCAUCAAUUAGACCGUAAUUCAAAUUCCAACUGGCCAAAUAAUUUUCUUUUGAAAGUAAAACUCCACCUCCCCAGAUCAUCAAGCCUCAAGAAAUGAAUCAGAACUUAAUAACUUCAUCAAAGCAUGCAAUUGCCACAUUGUAUACAUCACAUAUUCAGAGAUACAUAACAUGCAACUUCCACAAUGUAUGCAACCAUAUAGUAGAUAUGGAUUUUCUUUCCUUCAAAAUAGAUAGAUAUAUACAAAUAGAAAUUAGAGUAGCUUUCACUUGUCAAUUUGAAAAGUUGAACUACAAAAUUUUUCUGAAGCCCAAAAUUCUGCAGAAUCUACUCACAAGUCCAGAUCAUCUACAUCAACAUACCUCUCCUUUUCCGCACUUAGCAUUAGUUGCCUGACAGCUGCUUUGGUGGUGGAAACCAGAAAAAGCUUUUCGCCAUCAGAGAUUGUUCAAAGAUCACUUCUAUAAAGUGAUAAUAACUCCUAAAAAGCUAUCAACCAGACAUUGUCUGCAAAAAGUCGCAAAACUCUCCAUGCCUUUAUCUUCUAUAGUCUUUGAAGAAGGAUGGAGGAAUCUCUGAGCGAGGAACCAAGGUUGACACAGAUUUGAACUGUUCAAAAUUAGUGAAAAUGAAAUUAAACCAAACAAGACCCAACAAAACUACAGGUUGAGGGCCAAACUGAAAUAGACAAGAUACUACACAAAAGUGCUUAGUCUUACCUUAUGCUGCUUGUAUUUGUCUUUGAUGGCUUUCAAGGCAGAACAUUUCCUGUUCAAUUGCAAAUCAUGGAUUGCGGCAAUGCAAUCCCUUAGCUCAGAGGCACUAUACCCUGUGUUACUUUGGAGUGAUAGACUCUACACAAGCAAAAUUACCAACUAUUACCAAACAUGCCGCAGUAUACAAAUUAGAUGAGAAUUUUACCAUCAGAAGCACUCUUACCCAAGGUUGGGACCUUGGAUUAAUGGUGAAUCUCGCCAGGAACACAGAAGAAGCCGCAAUAACCGAUGGUAAGAACCGAACACAGCCAUAAUCCACCAAACUUAAUUCAGCAAGGUAAUUGCCCAAGAACUCCAACAACAGGUUUGGGUACUGCAAAUAAUUGAAUCAUCCAUUACAAAAGCAAAAUUCAGGAUAAAACUUCAAGUCCAGGAACAGUUGCCCAAAAAAACAAACAAUGUAGAUAAAAGAAGUAGACCAACUUACUUUGCAACCUUGACCAGCCUUUGUGAAUCUCCUAUAAAAGGAACGCAAACAUAACAACCUCAUUAAGUUUCAUGUUAUGCAAUUGAUGGUCCUAAAAACAAUCACAUAGCAUGACAAACAAAUAAAACAUAAUCAGGCCUAUUAGAGUAAACGACAGGUUUCGCCUUUUUGCCACUACACAGGAUAUUUGAGAUAAAUUGCCACAAUAAGCAAAGUUCUCUCCAGCAUAAUUGAUAUUGAAUUCGAAUUCUAUACCUCAAAAAAGUCUUUACGGUGGGGUCUCCCAUUUCAAAGUUGAGAAAUUUUAGAACCAUUGCCUCCAUCUUCACAACCUAAAAUCACAAAUGGAACAUGUUGUUUACUCGCAUAGGAAAAACCCAAAAAUAACAUUCGGCGAAGAUAGCUAAGAGAAAUCAUACCUCCUGCUUCGUGUAGCUAUUGUCGGUUAUGUAACAAAAAUCUUCGACAUGAGGAGGGCUAAUCUCUUCAUACUUCCUGCACCGAAAAAGAAAAGAAGGCGCUAUCAAUAACUAAUCGACCGCUCAAAAAAAACCCUAGAUGAAUACCAAGAAAAAAACGAGAGCUUUGACACCUACGAAGCUACGAGCAUGCAAGAAACUCCGAGAAGCUGCAGCUUCUUCCGAGCGACAGCAUGCAUUGAAAGAAACCUAUCGACAUAUGAGAUUGUGAGAAAAAGGGUAUCAGGGAGAAGUUUAUACUCCUCCGCAACGGCGACCAACCAAUCCACCAGCAUCCCCCGCAUAUUUUCCGUAAUAUCUUUCUGAAUUGUCUCAAUAAAGUUAGCAAUGGGCCUUCUCUUCGGCUCUGCCUAAAAGAUUCAUCAAAAUUACGAGGACCCAAUUCGAAUUAGACAAAACCCACAUGGAAUUGAGCCUAAAAAGUCCAAUUUUUUAGAACCAGACCUCACCUCCAAGGAUCGAAGGUAGUGAUAUAUAUCACCAGCGUAAUAAGAACAUAUUUGGGGAUCCUUCUCAUUAGAUUGAGUGGAAGGAGAGUUAGAGGAAGUGAGAGGUAAAGGAGCUUCCUUUUGCGCUGCCGCUGCCUCCAUCGCCUCCGCUGUCACCGCUGCAGCCUCUUCCCUUGCCUUCGAUCUCGUUCUUGGUUUGGAAAAAGGAGGGGGAUUGGGAGCGGGGGCGACAUUGGAUAGGUUCGGGAGCUCGGCCAGCGCCUUGCGCUUUCUCUUGGCCGGGGUGUGGAGGCGACGAGGUGGUGGCGCCGCAGCGGCGGCGGGGGCGUAGGUGGAGGUGGUGGCAUGCGUCUUCGCCGCCGCCGCCGCUGCCGAGGCAGCGGAGCGGGUGAGGCGGGCGCAGUUGUUCUCCUUGUUCGCCAUGGUCGCCCCUUCUCUGCUUCUUCGUUCUCUUCUUCUAUGGACACUGCGAUGGUUCGAAAUGGGGAAAAACUAGGGUUAGGGUUAGAGAGAGAGGAGAAACGAGAGGGUUAGGGUUUUGGAAUUUGGAUUUGAGGGGAAAGAAUGAGAGGAGGAGGGAGUGGGGGAGGAGGGAAAGCGCCAUUUUUACAAAUUCGAAAGUGCUGUUUGUUUUGAGCGCUUAAAAGAAACUAAAAUUUUGGUUAAAUUGUAUACACACCCCGUAACCUUUAAUUAUUUUGAAAUUCAGCCCUUAAUUUUUUUUUAUUUGAUUUACAUCUCUCUACUUACCAUCUAAUUUAGCUCAUUUCAUUAGCAAUUUGACUAAAAUAAUUUUUAAUCAUGUGCAUCUCUUAUGAAAAUUUAUUCUGAUUUCUAACCGAAUCAUCAAAAUUAAGAUACUCAAAUAAUUAAAGAAAAACAUCAAAUACCAUCCCUGUAAUUUCUCACUUUUUUAUUUUAGUACAUGUGGUUUAAAAUAUAUCAAUUUCGUGUCCCAUGGUUUUAUUUUUCUCUUUUUAUUAUCCCCCACUAAUUUUUUUAGUUAAAGCAGUGAAAAAAUUAAAACUAAAAGAUAUUAAAGUAAAUACUCAAUAAAUCUAGAUGAAAUAUCUAAAAUUUUUUAUAUAUAAUUUAACGAAAUGUUAACGGAGGAGCUGAUAGAAAGAAAAAAAUAAAACCACGUGAUACUUAAUUGAUACAUUUUAAAUCACAUAAUAUUAAAGUGAGAAAGUACGAAACCAUAGAGGUGAUAUUUGAAGUUUACCCAAUAAUUAAUAAGUAGAAUAGAUAUAAAUCAAACAAACAAAAAAUUAGAGGGUCAAUUUCAAAACGUAUUAAAGUUUAGGCGGGUGUCUUAUACAUUUUAUGAUUUUAACCUAAAAAAUUUGAGAUUCGAUUCGAUUGGUCACUUUUUUGGGCGGAAUUUAUUUUUGAUUUCGACUUUUUCAAAAUUUGUUUUUCCCUUCUUUUUCUGUGUAGAAAAGGGUUCGUAUUUGGAUAUUUUUGUUCUCUUUUUAUCUUUUUCGUUGUUGAGUUUACAAAUUAGUAAUGUUGGAAUUUGAUCCAUUGCGACGAUUUUAGAUAAUAAUAAUAAUAAUAAUAAUAAUGCUGGGGAUAGAAAUUUUGAUCCAAACCAAUUGAGUCAAUCAGAUUCGAACCGAAUUAGAUCAGUAUUGGUUGAUUUUGAAUAAUCCGCUUUUGGUUGAAAGUUGUUUAAUUCAAAAUAUAUAUAUCUAUAUCUAUAUCUAUACUAUAUAUAAAAGCACGUAUUUUAAAUUUUAGUCUAUCGACAGGCCUAUUUCAGAAUUUAUCCUUUUUCGUAUGCAAAAUAAAUAACAUAACGAAACUUUUUUUUUUUCUCCAACUAUUAAUAUUUAUUUUUUAUUAAAUUUUUUAUAAGUCAAUAUCUUUUCUUUUAUGAUAAAUAUUUAUAUAUUAUUUCUAUUUUUAUCUACUAAUAUUUUUUUAUUAUAUUAAUUUUUUAAUUUUUAAGUAUUUGAAACUUCUAAAAAAUAAAUUUAGUAAUUUUUCGAAAUCAUAAUAAAUUCCAUCAAACGGGCGUAAAAUGAUGGUCAAAAUUAAACGACGUUCUAAAAAUGGAUGAUCGGAUUCUUUAAUUUAAAAUCGGAGUUAUUGAUCUUUAUCUAGGUAGUGAAUAGAAUUUUUUAGCAAAAAUUCAACAUAUUUAAAUUUUUUACACUGUUAAACUAGCAAGUAUCUCAUACUGACAGUUAAAAAUUGUCAAUUUUGUGAGCUUUUAAUCGUAAGGUAAAUGAUGUCAAAAAAUUAUGAAAUUUGAUUUUUAGAAGUUUUAAAUACUCUGGAUAAUAUUUAAGUGUAUGGAUCGUCGAUUCGAAAGUUCUAUCAUCAAAAACGACUUAUGAGUACGAGAGCGAUCAUACUCAUAAGAGUAUAAUAGCUGGCCUCGUAUAUAUAGAGAGAGAGAGAGAGUCAGGCUACUAUAUUAUUGAUAGCACGAUGGCCUUUGCACUACUAAGUUGUUUUUAAUAAUACUGUUUCUAAAUCGACUAUCGGCUCCGUUAAAUUUGAUCUAUACUAUUAAAAGUAUUUAGAAAUCAAAUUUUAUAUUUUUUUCGAUAUUAUUUGACUAGUGAUCAAAAUAUCUCAAAAUUGAUAAUUUUAAUGGGCGAUAUGAUUUGUUUGUGAAUUUAACGGUGUAAACAAUCAAAAUCUGAUAAAAUUUUUAUAGAAAAUUCUCUUCACUAUUUAAAGUAAGAUCAGUAUCUCUUAUCUUAAAUUCAAAUCUUUUAUCAUAAUUUGUUAUGAAAUUUUUAUUUUCAGAAGUUUAUUUUUACACUAUUCGUUUGAUAGAUAAUGAUGUCAAAAAUUUAUGAAAUUUAGUUUUCUAAUACUUUCAAUAGUGUAGAUUAAGUUUAACAUAGCCGAUCGUCGAUUUGAAAGUUGCAUUAUCAAAAACAACUUGAUAACAUGAAGGCUCGUUUGAUAGAUAAUGAUGUCAAAAAUUUAUGAAAUUUAGUUUUCUAAUAUUUUCAAUAGUGUAGAUUAAGUUUAACAUAGCCGAUCGUCGAUUUGAAAGUUGCAUUAUCAAAAACAACUUGAUAGCAUGAAGGCUCCGUGUUACCGAUAAUAUAUCGACGUGACCCUCUCUCUCUCUCUCUCUCUAUAUAUAUAUAUAUAUACACACAC
RNAcentral lists this long non-coding RNA (45188 nucleotides) under Ananas comosus (pineapple). Its description in RNAcentral is "long non-coding RNA (ACOM_LNC022974)". The record is from RNAcentral. Lineage: Eukaryota; Viridiplantae; Streptophyta; Magnoliopsida; Poales; Bromeliaceae.